UUCUACCCGCACGAUGUGGCUAACACAACCACCCUCUUACAACUGCAACAAUUGCCGCCAUUCAACCAACUUGCGUUGACAAACCCAACAGCGUUCUACCUACAACCCAUCAUUGAUGGUGCCCUCUGUUAGAUUGCUUAUGAGUUAUAGUUCAAUAAUGAAGUUUUUUGGUUGAUGUUUGUGGCUUCCCAGAAAUAAUAAAGUACAUUUCUAGAUUCUCAUGUGCUACUUGUCUCCAAAUGUGGUUGAUAAUUAUUUUGCUCUAAGAUCGAGAGUAAUGAUGUAUAAAUCAUCGUUGUCGUGUGAUACUCGGUCAAUUGAGCAUUAGCACACACAAACAUGACGAGAAUGGUAUAAUCUCCAAAAAUAUGUACUUUGUAGGUGGGACCCUAUAGCCAUGCAAAAUAUGCUAUGUUAGGCAUGCCGAUGGAAACAUGUGAUGCAUAUGUUUCGUGAACCUGUUGAUAUUAUAUGUGAUUUAUAUUACGAUAUUUUACUAAAAUACUAAUAUUUAUUACUAGUAAGUUAUAACAUUCUAUCAAUCUUAAAAACCUAACCAUAAAUAUUCCAUCGUAACUAGGUUUACCAAACUAUACAAAUACACAAUAAAUACAAAAUUAACAAUACAAUAACCAAUAUUUAUGAGCUUAAUAAAUUUAAUUUUAGGGUUGGUCGAUGAUAAUCAUAUUGACUUCCCCUGACUCCUUGAUUGUAAAUAUGCCUAGACCAUGCCUCUUUCUACUAUACGGCAAACAGGGACCACUCUAGGAGACUAGGACGUUGCUUGAGACGAAGACGCCAUCAUUGAUGUAGACUAUCGACCAUCUGACUGCAGUCGAUAAAAAUUAACUAUUUCUGUGAGGCGUUUGACCAAAAAUGACAAAACUUUACUAGGUUCUGUUGGUUGAGUGAGGGCCGACAAAAGUUGAUAAAUUUUCGUGGGAUUAUUUCAAGCCGACAUAAAUUAUUUUGGCUAAUGGAAGUUUCUUUUUUCCUUAGUUGUGUGGUGCUAUACAUAUGCAUGUCUGAUUCACGUGAUAAACUAGGCUAGAAAAACAAUUAUUUGACAUGGAUUGUUGUGGAGGACCAUACCAACUGUGACUGCCAUCUCAAUCCAGCUGACAUCUAAGUGACCUUUGAAUAAAUUAUUAAGCUGACAAAACUUUGACACCAAGAAGAAAGUUUAAGUAUGUAAAUAUUUAUGUUCAUCAAGCUGCUAUUCCCUAUCAUUGGCAUGAACAUUGUCAUCAUUUAGUUCCUAAGAAUAUAAUAAAAACAAGAAGAGCCACCUCACGAGAAUCCUUUAACAUAGACUAAAUAGUAGUUUUUGUGGAACACAACAGAACUGUACACCAUUUUCAGCGGCCAAGGUUAUUUUCGGCGGCCAGGACUUAGCCGCCGAAAAUAAACCUAUUUUCGGCGGCUUCUGACACAGCCGCUGAAUAUACAUUUAUUUUUGGCGGCUACUAACACAACCGCCGAAAUAAGGUUUUUAAAACCGUCGGGCUCCUUCUCUAUUCUCUCUGUUUCUUCUCUUCUUCUCCUCGCUCGGUCGCCGCCGUACGCCGCCACGCCGCCCGCCCGUCGCCGCCGUGCCCGCCACAGCUACAUCCACGCCCCCGCCGAGGCGCCGCGCCACCCCGUGCAGCCAUGCCCCCGGCGGCUCCGUCUCGUCGUCUGCCGUCACCCUCGGCUCCCAUCGACCAAGAAAACUUGAAUACUCCUUAGCCAAAAAAUGGAUGAAUUUCACCUUCCUUAUCUUAAGCUCCUUGAUUUUUCUACUAAGUGUCGCUAUUCUAACCAUUAUCCCUUGGGUAAACCAUAUUUGAUUAUCCAGCCAAAGGACCCAGAAGAUAAAAACAAUUUUUAAUUGCUAUUUCGAGACAAAUGAAUUAGCGUGAUUCGAAAAGGAUUACGACCUUCCCCCUUGACCUUUGUCAUACUUCUUUAGUCUAAUCGAUAGAAUCAAGAAUAGAAAUCACUGAAGAAGUUGAUAAGCGAAGCUUCGACGAUAAUAGGAACAUGGUGACAAUAGGACGAACGAUGAUGCCUUUGUCUAAGAAUGUUAUCUAGAAGAAAUCUCAAUCAAUUGUCGGUACAACGAAAAGAUAGAAACAUGCACCCUUGAGUAUGAAACAUUUAUAUGUAAGAGGAAGGAGGAAUGUAAUUGCUCAUGCCUAAUCAUAUUAUUGAGAGUUUUAAGGCGAGACUUAUGGCAAAGGGUUAUACACAAAAAUAGGGGAAAGGUCAUUUCAAUACUUAAUCAAUUUUUGCCCUUCUAAUGACCAUACAUGUGUUACUUUUUUUGGCUGCCUCACAUGGUCUUAUCGUUCACCAGAUGAAUGUUACGUCUGUUUUCCUAAAUGGAGAGCUUAAUGAACAGAUCUACAAUGACUAGCCUGGUGGAUUUACACCAAUUGGUAAAGAGGAAAAGGUGUUUAAAUUAAAACAAAUUUAUGGUUUAAAACAAGAACCAAAGCACAUGAGAAAUUUGAUAAAGUUUUGACUUUGGCUAAAUUUGUUGCAAAUGAAGCUGAUAAAUGUGUCCAUUACCGGUUUGACAGGGGUGAAGGUAUAACAUUUUUUAUGUGGAUGAUAUAUUAAUCUUUUGUAAUGGUGUUAAUAUGAUCGAGGAAGUAAAGUAAUUUUUGUCUAGUAACUUUGAAAUAAACAAUCUGGGAGAGAUUAAUGUUGUUCUUAACAUAAAGAUGUUCAGAGGAGGAGGAAAUAUGGGGUUAUUCUUGUGCAAUCCUAUUAGGUUGAAAGGUCGAUGAGUUGCUUUGGAUAUAGUGACUACACGUCUGGUCCAACUACUUAUGACCCAAGUGUGCUAUUAAGGAAAAUCAUAUAAUCGCAUAUGAUCAAUUGAGAUAUUGUCAAAGCAUGGUCUUCUCAUGGAUUUGGCUAGUUCAACGAGGCCUGAUAUCUCGUUUGCUAUGAGCAAACUCAGUUGCUUUGUCUCCAAUCUUAGGGAUGAUCAUGACAUGCCCUAGAGAGGGUAUUGCGCUAUCUAAAAGGGACUAUGAGUAAUGUCAUUUACUAUACCACACACCUAAGGGUACCAGAGUGUUAUAGUGAUGCAAACAAAAUAUGUGAUGGUGAUUAGAUUUAAGCCACAAGUAGAUAUGUGUGCUUACUUGAAGGUGUGGUUGUUUCAUCGAAGUCUUGUAAGCAGACCAUCUUAACAAGGUCAACAAUAAAAGUAGAACUCACAACAUUAGAUAUUGCCAAAGUUGAUGCCGAGUGGCUUCGUGAACUCCUUAUGGAUUUACUAGUAGUUGAAAAUCGAAUACUGGUUAUCUAUAUGAGCUAUAAUGAUUAAACAUUGGUAAUCAAAGUGAACAAUUCUUAGGUUAACAUGAAUACUACAAAGCAUGUCAAAAAACGGUUGAAACUGUUAAAACACCAAGAAAUUCUAGAUUAAUUGUGUUGGACUAUGUCCAUACUUCUAAGAAUUUGGUAUGCGAGUUUAUAGAAGAUUUGUCACAUAAUGUGAUAGAUGGUGCAUCGAGGAAGAUGGGCUUGAGACCCACUUAAUGCCAUUCCAUAGUAGUAGCAUUUUCUAUGUGAUUGGAGAUCUCAUAGAGUAGAAUGGUGAAACAAGCUAGAGAAUGACUGAUGGAGAGACUCCUUAAAUAAAAUCUAGGUAAUUUCAUAUGCACAUUUCUCCUUUGAUGUACGAUAGGCUAACUAAAAUAUUAAUAUGAUUUGAGUGACUUAUCUAAGUAGGGAUGUUAUCUUACAGAACAUCCUAGAAGGAACACACCUAUAUGAGUUUCACUGCUAGUCACGAUCUAUGAUAUGUGGGCAAUAUUUAUAUACUCAUGAAAGGCCUCGAAGUUUGACUUAUAUGAUUCAAGCCAAGGGGAUUCUUGUAAUAGUCUAGUACGAGAUAAGAACUUUGGAGAAACUCACUUCAUGCAAAAUUGUCAAUUCAAGGUAUAGUCCAUUGUUCAGAUAUGAAUAUGUAAUCCCUGUUCUAGAUGGAUGGUCAACUUAACAGCCUCCACCAAAACCCUUAUAUAUCAAAGAGUAGUGGAUUUGAAUUUGUCUAAUUUGAAUUUGUCUAAUAUGUAGUUUAUGGGCUUGGCUCAUUUAAAGUAUUUAAUAAUUCUGAAAGACAAGAUUAAACUAACUAUGUAUGAUCCUUUAGCAUCGUGCAGAUGGUCAAUGGGACAGUUACAUGGUUUAUAUAGAUGGACCUAUCUAUAUUCCUUCAGUAGUUGAGAAAAAGGUAAAGGUGUGUCACACUCACACAUGCGCUGCCUCCACCGAGACAAGGCAUGGCGUUGCAAGGUGAGGCAUGGCAUGGUGCAACACGAUCGCAGUCAUGGUCGUGGCGCGGUGUAGCAUUGUUGUGGAUAGAUCGAUAAACUAUUGUUGUAGUUAGAGUACAUGAGUUUUUGAAUGCAACACUAGAAUUUUCUCAAUUUAACUUAAUUAAGAAAUUAUAUCUUGAUGACAUAGAGUUACCUGACCAUUGAUCUCACAUGCCCUUUUAGCUCUCUCGUUCUCUAGUCUCGCCUGACUAUUUAGGUCUCCUGACUCGCCAAUAGAAAGACCAUCCUAUCAUUUGCUCUCGAAUACUUCUGUGUCAUAACUUGAAAGUCGCCUAGAGCGGGAGGUGAAUAGGCGAAACCUAAAAUUUAUAAACUUAAACACACACAAAGGUCGGGGGUUAGAGUUAGAAUUAAAUUCUAGUCCAGAAGAAUAUCUCUGUUGCUAGGAGUUGCUCAAGGAUUGCAGAUGAUGUAUGUGAGCCAACUCAAAUUCACACUAGCAAGGAAAUGUUAGAGAGAGGAAAACAAAUCAAACAAGAAUCAAGGCGAGUGAACACGAUGAUUUGUUUUACCGAGGUUCGGUUCCAAAGAACCUAGUCCCCGUUGAUGAGGUCACAAAGACCGGGUCUAUUUCAACCAUUUCCCUCUCUCAAACGGUCACUUAGACCGAGUGAGCGUUUUCCUUAAUCUCUCGGGUCACUUAGACCCCGUAAGGACCACCACACACUUAGUUGUCUCUUGCUUCAAUUACAAGUCACUUGAGAAAUAGACGGGAAAAGAAAAAGGCCAAACCAAGCAACAAGAGCAACAAAGAACACAAGAUAUCCUCUCACAAGCCCUAAUGCACUAGAGUUGAUUUUGGGGCUUUGAGUGGAUUGAUUGCUUUGAUUGUGUCUUGGAGUGUUGGACUUUGCUCUUGCAAUGAAUGAGAGUUCAGAAAUGCUUGGAUGGUUAUGAAUGAGGUGGUUGGGGGUAUUUAUAGCCCCCAACCACUUCCAUAGCCGUUGGUGAAGGCUGCUAGCGAUGGGCGCACCGGACAGUCCGGUGCAUCACCGGAGAGCCACUGUGUACUGUCCGGUGCGCGCCACAUCAGCGCAACCGUUAGGGUUCGGAGCUGGUCAACCGUUGGAGUCUUUGUCGUCUUGUUGCACCGGACAGUCCGGUGCCCUCUGACUUCUGACAUCCACUGUUCAUCGCGACAGAGUCGACCGCUGGCGCAUAGAGCCGUUGCUCCGCUGGUACACCGGACAGUCCGAUGAAUUAUAGCGAAGCGCGCCCUAGAAUUCCUGAGAGUGGCUGGUUCAUCUGCUGUACGACCUGGUGCACCGGACCCUGUCCGGUGCGCCAUUUUUUAGCACACUCAAGUCCUUUUGCUCCAAUUAAAUUGUGUCCCUAACUUAAUUUCUUUCUUGGUUUGUGUUGAACCUUAUGCACCUAUAAUACAUGAAUUCUUGACAAACUAGUCAGUCCAUGUGUUUGUGUUGGUCGUCAACCACCAAAAUUAAUUAUAGGAAAUGGUUAACCCUAUUUCCCUUUAAAUCUCCCCCUUUUUGGUGGUUGAUGCCAACACAAACCAAAGCAAAUAAUAAAUGUAGAAAUAUAACUAGUUUGGAAUUGAGAUGAAUGUGCAUAGGUUACUUGGAAUUAAACCAAUAAAAUAUUUUCAACAUAUGAAUAAGAGUGAAUGGAUUGGCUUUCUUUUAUUUAAUAUUUUGGACCACAUUUGCACCACAUGUUUUAUUUUUGCAAAUCUUUUGGAAAUCUAUUCAAAAACUUCUGCAAAUAGUCAAAGGUAUAGGAAUAUGAUUGCAAGAAGCAUUUUUUAGGAUUUUGAAAUUCCUCCCCCUGUUUCAAAUGCUUUUCCUUUGACUACAUAAAAGCUCCCCCUAAAUGAAAUUCUCCCCUUAGCUUUCAAGAGGGUUUUGAAGUAGAUACCAAUUGAAAAAAUUUCUCUCACAUAUGAGUUGAAAGUUAGAUACCAAUUGAAAAUAUAUUAAUUGAAAUUCUUCCAUACUUAAUGUGAAGUUUUGAAGAUACCAAUUGAGAAAUUUUCUUCACAUACCAAUUGAAAAUUCAUUUUGAUCAAAUACCAAUUGAAAUAUACACCAGUUGAAGUUUACCAAUUAAAGAAAAUUUCAUUUUGAAUUUUUUUGAAAUGGUGGUGCGGUCCUUUUGCUUUGGGCUUAAUAUUUUCUCCCCCUUUGGCAUUAAGCGCAAAAAAUGGAGAAUUCGAGAGCCCUUUUUCUCCCUUUAUGGGGUCUAAUACUUUCUCACAAAUGGUAAAAUGAAUAUGAGUGAAUGAUUAUACCAAUUGAGAGUGUGGAGGAACAACGACAAAGGGUAUACCGUCAGAGUUGGAGUGGAAGCCUUGUCUUUGCGGAAAACUCCAUUUCUUUUUCAAUCUACGACUUAGUAUAGAAAUACACUUGAAAACACAUUAGUCAUAGUCUUGGCACAAGAAGAGUAAGAAAUAUGUAUUUGCACCAAAUGAAAGAGAUAUGAUCAAAUGUAUAUAAAUUAGCUAUGUGUGCAAAGUUUCAAUCAAAGUUCCGUGAAUCAAGUAUAUUUAGCUCAUUCCUAAGUUUGCUAAAUGUUUUCUCAUCUAGUGGCUUGGUAAAGAUAUCGGCUAAUUGGUUGUGGGUGCUCACAUAAGCAAUUUCGAUAUCCCAUUUUGUUGGUGAUCUCUCAAAAAGUGAUACCGGAUGUCUAUGUGCUUAGUGCGGCUAUGUUCAACGGGAUUAUCCGCCAUGCGGAUUGCACUCUCAUUAUCACAUAGGAGAGGGACUUUGCUCAAUUUGUAUCCAUAGUCCCUAAGGGUUUGCGUCAUCCAAAGUAAUUGCGCACAACAAUGACUUGUGACAAUGUACUCGGCUUUGGCGGUGGAAAGAGCUACAGAGUUUUGUUUCUUUGAAGCCCAUGACACCAGGGAUCUUCCUAAAAACUGACAAGUCCCUGAUGUGCUUUUCCUAUCAAUUUUACAUCCGGCAUAAUCGGCGUCGGAAUACCCAAUUAAAUCAAAGGUAGAUCCCUUGGGGUACCAAAGCCCAAACUUAGGAGUGUAAACUAAAUAUCGCAUGAUUCUUUUCACGGCCCUAAUGUGAACUUCCUUAGGAUUUGCCUGGAACCUUGCACACAUGCAUAGAGAGAGCAAAAUAUCCGGUCGAGAUGCACAUAAAUAGAGUAAAGAUCCUAUGAUCGACCGAUAUACCUUUUGAUCUACGGAUUUACCUCCCGUGUCGAGGUCGAGAUGCCCAUUGGUUCCCAUGGGUGUCUUGACGGGUUUGCCAUUCUUCAUCCCAAACUUCUUAAGUAUAUCUUGUAUGUAUUUUGUUUGGCUGAUGAAGGUGCCCUCUUGGAGUUACUUGAUUUGAAAUCCAAGGAAGUACUUCGACUCCCCCAUCAUAGACAUCUUGAAUUUCUGUAUCAUGAUCCUACUAAACUCUUCACAAGUUGACUUGUUAGUAGACCCAAAUAUAAUAUCGUCAACAUAAAUUUGACAUAUAAACAAGUAUUUUGCAACAGUUUUAGUAAAGAGAGUAGGAUCGGCUUUACCGACUUUGAAUCCACUAGUGAUAAGAAAAUCUCUCAGACAUUCAUACCAUGCUCUUGGGGCUUGCUUGAGCCCAUAAAGCGCCUUUGAGAGUUUGUAAACAUGGUUAGGGUACUCACUAUCUUCAAAGCCGGGAGGUUGCUCAACAUAGACCUCUUCCUUGAUGGGUCCAUUGAGGAAGGCACUUUUCACGUCCAUUUGAUAAAGCUUGAAGCCAUGGUAAGUAGCAUAGGCAAGUAAUAUACGAUUUGUCUCAAGCCUAGCUACAGGUGCAUAAGUUUCAUCAAAGUCCAAACCUUCGACUUGUGAAUAACCUUUGGCCUCAAGUCGGGCUUUGUUCCUUGUCACCACACCAUGCUCAUCUUGCUUGUUGCGGAAUACCCAUUUGGUACCUACAACAUUUUGAUUAGGACGUGGAACUAAAUGCCAUACCUCAUUCCUCGUGAAGUUGUUGAGCUCCUCUUGCAUUGCCACCACCCAAUCCGGAUCUCUUAGUGCAUCCUCUAUCCUGUAUGGCUCAAUAGAGGACACAAAAGAGUAAUGUUCACAAAAAUGUGCAACUCGAGAUCUAGUGGUUACCCCCUUGUGAAUGUCACCAAGAAUGGAGUUGACGGGGUGAUCUCGUUGAAUUGCUUGGUGGACUCUUGGGUGUGGCGGUCUUUGAUCUCUUAUUUCUUGAUCAUCUUCCUUGUCUUGGUUAUCAUCAUCUCCCCCUUGAUCCAUGUCCUCCUCUUGAGGUGGCUCAUCCUCUUGAUCUUCAUCUUCAUUAUCUUGAGCCUGAUCCUCGUCUUGAGUUGGUGGAGAUGCUUGCAUGGAAGAUGACAAUUGAUCUUGUGCUUGUGAAGGCUCUUCGAAUUCCUUGGGACACAUAUCUCCAAUGGACAUGUUCCUUAGUGCGACGCACGGAGCUUCUUCAUCAUCUAGUUCAUCAAGAUCAACUUGCUUCACUUGGGAGCCAUUAGUCUCAUCAAACACAAUGUCACAAGAUACUUCAACUAAUCCAGUGGAUUUGUUGAAGACUCUAUAUGCCCUUGUGUUUGAGUCAUACCCUAGUAAAAAGCCUUCUACAACCUUAGGAGCAAAUUUAGAACUUCUACCUCUUUUAAUAAGAAUAAAGCAUUUACUCCCAAAGACUCUAAAAUAUGAAACAUUGAGAUUUUUACCAGUGAGGAGUUCAUAUGAUGUUUUCUUGGGGAUUCAGUGAAGGUAGAGCUGGUUGAUGGAGUAGCAAGCGGUGUUGAUUGCUUCUGCCCAAAACCGUUCCGGAGUCUUGUAUUCAUCAAGCAUGGUUCUUGCCAUGUCCAAUAGAGUUCUAUUCUUCCUCUCCACUACACCAUUUUGUUGAGGUGUGUAGGGAGAAGAGAACUCAUGCUUGAUGCCGUCCUCCUCAAGAAAUCCUUCAAUUUGAGAGUUCUUGAACUCCGUCCCAUUAUCGCUUCUUAUCUUUUUGAUCCUUAAUCCAAACUCAUUUUGAGCACGUCUCAAGAAUCUCUUUAAGGUCUCUUGGGUUUGAUAUUUUUCCUGCAAAAAGAAUACCCAAGUGAAGCGAGAAUAAUCAUCCACAAUAACAAGACAUUACUUACUUCCGCCGAUGCUUAUAUAAGCAAUCAGACCGAAUAGAUCCAUGUAGAGUAGCUCAAGUGGCAUGUCCGCUGUCAUGAUGUUUUUGUGUGGAUGAUGGACUCCAACUUGCUUCCUUGCUUGACAUGCGCUACAAAUCAUGUCUUUCUCAAAAUGAACAUUUGUUAGUCCUAAAAUGUGCUCUCCCUUUAGAAGCUUAUGAAGAUUCUUCAUUCCAACAUGGGCAAGUCGGCGAUGCCAGAGCCAGCCCAUAUUAGUCUUAGCAAUUAAGCAAAUGUCUAGUUCAGCUUGGUUAUCAUUAAAAUCAACUAAGUAUAGCUGACCAUCUAAUACUCCCUUAAAUGCUACUGAAUCAUCACUUCUUCUAAAGACAGUAACACCUACAUCAGUAAAUAAAUAAUUGUAGCCCAUUUUGCAUAAUUGGGAAAUAGAAAGCAAAUUGUAAUGUAAAGAAUCUACAAGAAAAACAUUGGAAAUAGAAUGGUAAGAAAAUAUAGCUAUUUUUCCCAACCUUUGACCAAACCUUGAUUUCCAUUCCCGAAUGUAAUAGCUCUUUGGGGAUCUUCAUUUUUCUCAUAGGAGGAGAACAUCAUUUUCUCCCCUGUCAUGUGGUUUGUGCACCCGCUAUCGAUUAUCCAACUUGAUCCACUGGAUGCAUAAACCUGCAAAACAAUUUAGGCCUUGUUCUUACGUACCCAAACAGUCUUGAGUCAUUUGACGUUAGAAACAAGCACCUUGGGCACCCAAACACAAGUCUUGGGACUCUUGUGUUUGCCCCCAACAUAUUUGGCAACUAUCUUGCCUGAUUUGUUAGUUAAAACAUAUGAAGCAUCAAAAGUCUUAAAUGAAACAUUAUGUGCAUUUGAUGCAGUAGGAAUUUUUUUUCUAGGCAUUUUGACAUGAGUGGUAUGCCUAGAGCUAGACGCCUCAUUUUUGUACAUAAAUGCAUGGUGAGAAACAGAAUGAGGUUUCCUAGCAUGAAUCUUCAUAAUCUUAUGUUCAAGAUAGUUUGCAGGAUAUACAAUGUAACCCUCACUAUCCUAAACCAUGGGAGCCUUACCCUUAACAAAAUUAGACAAUCUUUUAGGGGUAUUAAGCUUGGUGUUGUUUUGAUUUCCUUGUUGGAAACCAAUACCAUCCUUAAUGUCAGGGCGUCUCCCAUUAUAGAGCAUGCUUCUAGCAAAUUUAAAAUUUUCAUUCUCUAACUCAUGCUCGGCAAUUUUAGUAGUUAAUUUAGCUAUAUGAUCAUUUUGUUGUUUAAUCAUGGCAAGGUGAUCAUCCAUAGCUUCAAUAUUAACAUCUCUACAUCUAGUGCAAAUAGUAACAUGAUCAACAGUAGAUGUAGAUGGUUUGCAGGUAUUUAAUUAUUCUAUCUUAGCACUUAAUCUAAUAUUCUCAUCUCUAAGACAGGAAAAAGGAUCAUUGCAAACAUUCAAUUUUUCAAUCUUAGAAACUAAACUAGCAUUUUCAGUUCUAAGACUUGAAAUUGAAUCAUGAUAAAUGCUAAUAUCCUUAGAUAAGUUUUCACAUUUUCUAUUUCCUGAGCAUAAGCAUUUUUUAAUUUAACAAUUUUAUUGUUCUAUUUAACGAGGAAGUCCUCUUGGCUUUCCAAGAGGUCAUCCUUCUCGUUAAUGGUUUCAAUUAGUUCAUUUAUUUUUUUCUUUUGUUCCAUGUUAAGGUUGGCAAAAAGAGCAAGUAAAUCAUCUUCAUUAUCGCUAGAGCUACCCUCAUCACUAGAUGUUGUAUAUUUGGGGUGGCUCACUAUACGACGGUUGAUCUUUAGCGACUCUUAUUAGGGACUGACGGUUGGUCGCUAAAAGUUAUGGACCGACGGUUGGUCGCUAAAUGCGUUUAUAGCGACGGUCUGUGGGUCGCUAAAAGUCUAGAAAUUUAACGACAUAUGGUUGGUCGCUAUAGAGGUAAGUGUGUGACUGAUGGUGGGUCGCUAUAGGGGUACGUGAUUUUUGUGUUUCUUAUUUACUCACCAAAGCCCAUCUAAAGGCCUACUAAACAAACGAAACCCUAUUUCACGCACCAAACCACAAGCGCAGCCGCCGUCACUUCUGCCCCAUCACGGCCCCAUCCUGCCGCUCGUCGACGACGCCACCCCGCCCCUCGGCCGCGGUCGCCGUCAGGCAGCCAGCCACCGCGACAUUGGCCAUGAUUUUUUGUGCCUGUUCUUGCUUAACUUUAUAACUGAUAAAGUUUCCAAUCACAAGAUUUACUUAAUUUAUACUAUUAUUAUCUUCUGUUGCAGUAUUUCCUUAUUAUUAAAGCAGCAAGGUUUGCCGCUUCCUCGUGUGUCCACGUCGGCAAAUUUUUUUGCCGUCCGAUCGUUCAUCAAUGGUGACAAUCUCACCCCUGCACAGUGUGUGUGGAUGGUUCUAGUUUCUUCUCUCACCAGCUCAUGCGUCUCCAAAGUAAAAAGGAUAAGAGAGACUCUGGGUUGCCGAGGUCCGCUUUCGUAACUACAGGAGGUAGGCAAAGGAGACGGCGACGACGAAGAACAUGUACUUCCUCCAUUACGUCCUCUAUUCCUAUCAUUGCCUUUCGUUUCUUUUCUUUUCUACAAUCGGCGUUACCUGCUGCAGUCGACGGCUCGGUCCCCUUGGUAUCUAAUGCCUUUGCGCGGCACCUGAGUUCUACACUUGCGACGAACUUGAGCAUUGCAUUCGUCGUUGUUCUUGUGUCCAUUCUUGUCUCUGACUCGGGCCGCCGCGAGUUCCUCCAUUCCCACUGCCAUGGAAUACGCCAGUGCGCUGAAUGACGCCUGCGUCUUCACGGAUCUCCUCCUCCUUUUGGCUAACAUGGCUCCUCAAAGAUGACCGCGUACGUUUGUCGAGCGGCGCUGGCAAGGGCCACGUGAACUGCGUUGGUCGACGCUUCCACACGCGCCGCUAAGCCUGCCCUGCCGCCCCCUAUGCGAUGCUGCUCCUCCCCUUUCUUCUCCGCCUAGGCUGGCGCUUGGAGGAGGAUGCCACCAAGGUUACCAACUACUUAAUGUACGCGUGCAAGAUGCUCGAUGAUACACCCCAACGGAAAGCAGUGUCGUGGACGAUGGUAGUCGUGGGGAACAUUGUAGACUCCACGCCGGUUGAGGAGGAAAAACUCCAUUGGCUCUUUUGUCACCUUAAGGGAUUUGCCUAACGUUUCCUUUUUUUUCUUUUAAAUAUGAUUUCCCCCAUACGUAUGCAGAUGCAGUUGCCAUAUUUUAAUGCUCAAUGCUGCCUACUUUAAUUUUAUGCUUAAUUUUUUUUAAUGCUCAAUGCUGCCUACUUUCCUUCACUGAUUUGGCUGCUCUUUUAUUUAGCUUAUAGCAACGGAAAAAAGUUAGCACAUUCCAAAAACUUCAAAGACUGCUGUGUACGACAUCCUAUAUUACCGGUAUGAGUACUUUUGAGAGCUUAAAUGUUGUUAGUCUUCUGUUUGCUAUUACGUGCUUUUGCUUUCCUGAAAAACUUCACACAGUUUCAGCUACGAAUUGACCAAUGACGAAAACAAGAUAUAUGAAGUGGCACAAUACUCAGUUUUACUUCUAAAAAUUGAAGAGAUUUAAAGAAGGAUUAUUCCAACAAUAAAUAUCUAUACUUUUGUUAGCAUACAUUUUCUUUUCUCAUGGCAUAUAUUUUCUUAAGGGCUAGUUUGAAAAUUUUAAAUCCUCUCCGGGAUUCCCGGAUAUUGAGAAGAAAAUGAGCUAAUUUCCCACUCAAUCCCUGAGAAUACCGGAGGAGAUUUUUAAGUUUCCAAAUUAGCCCUAAGUGUAGUAACUGAUUUUCACUUAAUUUUGCAGACUGCUUCUGUUUGAAUUGAACGGCAUCUUCAGAAUCUCGGCGACGCUAAUUUCUAACUCAUAUGGGAGAGGUCUAUUUCUAGAAUUUUUGUUUUUCUUUAAUAGAUUUGCCACCUACAUUGGCAUUUUUUCCCACUGCAAUCGAUUAUAAACUACAGUUUUGCAACCUUUCAGUGACAUGAACAUCUAACCAUAUUCAAGUUUGCCCUCAUCUCAAUAUCCAGAUAUCUCCACCUCAUCGACUCAAUAGUUAACCAUAUUCAAGUUUGCCCCUUUGAAACCAUCUGCUUGGAUUUUAUCGAUUCCAUUACCUAAAAAUAUGGUACAAUUUCAGUACGCCAGUACAUAUUAUGCAAAUGAAACACAAUUAAAAUCAGCAUUGUGAACUUUAUUGUUUGCCCAUUUUUUUGAUAAAUUACCCAUUUUAUGAUUCUACUGGGCCCUUUUCGCCUUUGCCCUACAAUUAUUCCUCCUCUUCGCUCUUUUGUUUCAUUGUUUGUUCUGCUUUGCACUUCUAUUCAUUGCAUUCUUCGUCGGUGAUUGUGCUCGUCCAGUUCGUCGGCCAUGUGUUCUAUCAUUUUCGUCAGAAAUCCUUUCUUAAGCCCUCCACUUUUCUCCUUUUUUGUUACCUUCGCACUUCGUUUUUAUUGUUCAUGUUCUCUGUCGUCGAGAUCUACUGUCUCAGGUUUAUUCUGGCUUUCAUAGUAAAUAAAUUGCUCUUCUUCCCCUCAUUUCUUGCUGGACGCAUAUUAUGCUUUUCCACUUUGCGACAACACUGUUUCCCUUAUUUGUGUUCGAGUAAAGUUCAGACUUUAUCCUCAGAGGUAAUUGUUACUUGCCUUAGCUUGCACUCUAUACACAUAAAGCGCUACUGUGCUGUUGCAUCAACUGUUUCGUUCCAUAGUUUUUGUUUUAUCCCACUUGGUUUAUGUCUUAUGUGCGCAUCAAACACUUCAAGCUAACAAUUACGCUUUCUAGUUUUGUAGACAUUAAAACAAAUGUUUCACUCCAAUGUAGGCCAAACAUAUUUAAGCGGUAUCGCAACAUGUGCAUGGUACUUUAAUGCAGACAUUUCUAAGGCACAUAUGUAGUAUAACAUGUACGGGAAAAUAGAUAAACAAAACACUAUCCAUUCUUGUAAUUACAUUUCCCCUUAAACCUGUUCUCCUUACAUGUCAUGUUGACAAUCAUCUACAUUAUCUAGCUGUCUGGUAGUAGCAUUUUUGUAAAACUAACAUACAAAUCUAGCAUUAACUUUUGCCCCAAAUUUCUAAAAUCUAUUAUGAACUACAAACAAGUUCCAAGUAUUCCUUUUCACAUGAAUAUGAGCACACUUUUUAAGCCAUCCAAUAACAUUUAAUCAACAUGUAUCGUCUACAUUAUCUAGCUGUCUGGUAGAAGCAUUUUUGUAAAAUUAACAUACCAAUCUAGCAUUAACUUUUUUCCCCAAAUUUCUGAAACAUAUUAUGAACUACAAAUAAGUUCCAAGUAUUCCUUUGCACAUGAAUAUGAGCACCCUUUUUUAAGCCAUCCAAUAACAUUUAAGCAACAUGUAUGCUUAAAUUCCACAAUACUGACCAAUUACACAAAUGUUUGCUACUAUUUCAAUUUUUGUUGUCACAUCAUUUAAAGGUUACAAAAUAUUGAACUUUAGUUGCUACGACCUACAAUACUUGAAGAAGAGAUCCAGGUUUCCCAGACACCUACUUUCGAGGACAAAACCAUCAAUGAAUUGGUUGAAAUUGAUCCAGAUAUAUUCCAUGUAAUCACUUUAACUUCCUAUUUUGUUGAACUCAUUCAUUACAUCAACUACAACUCCAUCUUAUUUAUAGUAAACUUUUUUCGCGAAAUGCAGCCACAAGGUUAUAGAUGUACUAAUCGCUAUAUCACGCCUCACACAGGAAGGUAGAUGGUGGUUCCCAUCUUGCACUAAAUGCAACAAGUCUUCAAUUCAGACCUCUACUAAAUAUCGCUGCAUACGUGUGAUUGGACAGAAACUAAAUUUAGGUAACCUUUCACACAAACAAUUACUUUGUCGUUAUUCGUCUGAGAUAAAACACUUCCUCUUACUUAUCAAAUCACUGCCACACAACAUUAACAGUUCAUAAUUCAAAGAUACAAACUCGGCUUCAUUGCUACUGAUGGAACAUUCGAAGCAGAAUUCUUUUGUUUUGACAAUAUAGCUAAACAAAUAGUAGAAAAACCUUGUGAAACCCUUGUUAGUAUCCUUCUCUAGAUUUAGUUGCCAUUGUCUCUCUCAGAUUCACCUUUGCAGAUACCAUUAAUAUGUUCGCGUUCUCCGUCACAAAUCGAGUCUUUUUUGUUCUCUCCGUGUUAACAAAUCAUGGAAGGAAAAGGUCAGCACCAUGUACCAUACAAAACUAUCAACAACAAGAAUUAGUGACACAAGAUGACAUAUUAGCCUCACAACCACAUAAAACUCUCCAACAACAUCGUUUGCAAAGCUAUCCACUUUUGGUGACCAUAAAAAUGUGGUGAGAAUUUUUUAGUGCAAACUACAACUAUUUCACAUGAACUUAUAUAUGUGCAUAGACUAAUGAAAUCUAUUUGACAGGCAUGUCACAGCCUUGCAUAUUCUAAUGCACUACAUGAUAUAGAGGUAAGUUUUUCUACCAUCACGUUUAGGCUCCAUAUGUACCCAAAAAUGACAUAAUUGUCUACCUCAAUUAUUUUGUGAUGGGAGAGAGUAUAUCUAUUCAUAAUUUGAAGACAGUGAUUUUUUUCCAUACAUAUCUAUGCAGGCAUAAAAUUACACACAAAAGAAAAAGAAUACUAUCUAUGCAAGAUGGACUCGAAAAUCCUUUCAACAUGUGGAUCAAUCUAAUUAUUUUAGAUUUUUUCUAAAUUUGCCUUUCAAUGGCUGAAGUCCCAUUUUGAUGCAAAUGAAAAAGCGAACAUCCUGUAGACUGCUGUUGCUGUGCAUCUCAACUGUUUUGGUCUUCCAAUCUUUUUGGAAGUAUUAUUAUUUUUACUUUCACUUACUCUUAUAAUUGCAUCAUGUUACACGAUGUUGACGUCAAUAUGGAUAUACACCCAAACAAUCUAAAUUCAAGGUCUUGUCAAAGCAAACUAAGGUUCUUUUUUUAAUACAAAGUCGUAUGGAUUCUGUUAGAUCUUGUAUUUUUUCCUACUAAUGUCAAUAUCAACCCGCAAGCGUCUCUUAAGUCACUCUUUUUAGGAUCAUUAUUUCACAUACUUUAAACCACAUAUGAAAUUUUGUUAGGCACACUAUUUGACAAUUCUUAUCCACUUACAGAAUGUUGACUAGCUUUCAGAACACCUUAACAAAAAAGAUCUUUUCUAAAUUUGCCUUUCAAUGGCCAAAAUCCCAUUUUUAUGCAAAUGAGAAAUGAACAGCCUACAAACUAUUUUUGUUGUGCAUCUCCACUGUUUUGGGCUUCCAAUCUUUUCUUGAGUAUUUUUUUACUUUCAAUUACCCCCUCUUAUAGUUUCAUCAUUAAAAAGUAUUGUUUUUUACUUUCAAUUACUCCCUCUUAUAAUUUCAUCGUGUUACACAAUGUUGAUGUCGAUAUAGAUAUACACCCAGACCAUCUAAAUGCGAGUUCUUAUCAAAGCAAACUUAGGUUCCUUUUUUUGAUACAAAGUCGUCUGGUUUCUCUUAAACCUAUCUAGUAUUUUGUUUCCUACUAAUGUCAAUACCGACCUGCAAGCCUCUCCUACCUCACUCUUUUCGGGAUCACUAUUUCACAUACUUUAAACCACAUAUGAAAUUAUGUUAUACAUUAGGCACACUAUUUGACGAUUCUUAUCCACUUACUUACAGGAUGUUGACUAGCUUUCAGACCACCUUGACAAAAAAAUCUGGCAUCCCCACCUAAGAAGUAUGUUUAAAAAAAAGAGGAGAGCAAAUGCAACCCGAGCAACAAGUUGCUUCCUUUUUUACACUAUGUACCAUAGUCCUUUCUAAGUUCUAACAUUGCAGAACACAUACAUGAUCAAAACUAGCAGGCUUCAAAAACAUCAAAAAGAUUUUACAGGCCCUGAAAGCGAUGUCCGGUAGAUCAACGUCAUUCUCAUCAAGGCGCGACAUAAUUUUACACCUCUUCUCUACACACAACUUCUAAUCAAUAUAAUUUGUGCAUUGUUCUUCACUCUCCUUUAUAACCUUUGCGCAAAAAUAGAAUAGCUCACAAACUCUUCAACGACAACUGAUCUGUCCUUUUUUCUGUACAGAUAAUUGCUUUGCGUAUCUACAACGACCAUCACUACUUUUGAAGCGCAAACGCUUUUAUGUACAUAUAACCAAACCGAUGAAACUUCUCUAGCUUAGUAUUUGUUUAUGCGAUCCUCAGCUCUGCUUUCUGUACCUAUGACGAUCAUCGUCACUUUUGCAAAGCAAAUGCUUUUGUGUACAUAUUACCAAGUUGAUGAAACCUUGCCAGUUUAGCGUCUGUUUAUUAUGAUCUUUAGCUCUUGGAACACACUGCUGAAAUACAAUGUAAUAUGUAUAGUCCUCUCAGUCUACUCUAGACUUGCUGUAACCGCUAUAAUUAUUAUCUUAGUACAACAAUUUAUGUAAGCACUGGGACCAGUUUAAAUUUGCUCUUAAACUGAUGACAGCAUGUGCUAUAUAACAAGUUCUGAGUGUACAUUAUCCCAAUGAAAUUGUGUCAUUAUCCUAACAAAAUUGAUCAUAAAAAUAGUUCAUAUUGCUGCAGGUACGCGCGCAUGGGCGCGCACGAUACACUAGUUGAUUAUACUUAAAAAUGUACAUCCCAAAUGUCGCUUAGUCCAAACCGUGUAUAUUUCACCCAAACCAACUCGAGUUUGUAUGUGUAUUUGCCUACUCGAGUUUGUAUGUGUAUUUGCCUUCGUAUUUUCGAGAAUGAAAUAAAAUUAAGUGGGAAAAUCCCAUUUUUCUUUAUCCUCCACCGCCGUAUUUUCUUUUUGCUCCCCGAAGCUGCAACCAUCGUUUCCUCCUCUCCUGAAGCACGACAGCCAGUCCAGCCACCAUUUGGGUGCUCAUCUCCCUCUGCUCGGCACCUAGCCCCAGCUCGCCCGAGCUCCCUGCGCCGACCUCAUCUUCCCCAUGGCGCGUCACCUUCUAGUCCUCUCCUUCCCACGGCACAGCAGCGCCCCUGCAGCUCCCCUUCUCCAGAUCCAUGGCACCCAACACCUUGAGCGCCCCUGCCGCUGCUCCUCCACCGGGAUCUCCUCCUCCACUAGGCGUCCAGGCUUGUCCCACCGUGGCUGCCCCUCCUCCAUCUCCUCCCUCCCCACCAGGUUACCCAGAUUCCAUGGCCGCCGCCGCCCCAGCCAUCUCCCUGGUGGCCGACCUCGCCCCUGCCCCAGCCACAGCUCCCCCUUCGGCCCUGCUGCUGCAAGCACUCAGCCUCUCCCAUGGCACACGGUACUCGUCCAGCCCCUUUCUACUGGUGGCUGAGCCAUCUCUCUGGUGCUCGAUGAAAUGACCAUGAGGAGUUUUGUGUUGUGUGCAGCCCCAUCUGCAACACCGUCGACCCCCGACGAGGUCCUUUCUCGCCUUGUCGUUUUAGUACUCGGCGUCGAUUAAGUAGAUGCUAACCGUGUGUAUAUUCGUGUGUUCUUGUGAGGAGAAAUCCCAUGAUUUGGGGGAAGACGAAGUCCAAGCACAACCCCCGCCAAUCGCUCGAUGAAAAAUCUAAACCAAAACCCUCAGCGUUUUCAAGGGUUCCGGAGGGAUUUUAUGUUGGUAAGGUAAUUUGUGUCCUAAUUAGUUCACUCAGUUAUUGAGUUGAAGAGAUUGUUAGUUGUAUGUGUCGAUGAUGCUAUUUUGAUUAGCAGGUGUUGUGCGGUGUGAUCUCCAAUUCCCUAUUGCUGUUUUCUUACUCCAUCAUGACCUUAGGGAAGGAUGUUUUCCUCUAAAUUACUCGUAAUAAUUAUGCUUGGUGUAUGUGUUGUUUUAGCUACUUGAUGAAAUGUUUUAGUUGUGUGCGAUAAUAUGGUUGCCGUUCGAGUGGAAAGUAGAUGUGUUGUAUGACCUGAGUUGGAGUUGAGGCAAGUAUGUGUGUCUCGUAUUACGAAACUAAUUAGAGAUAUGCAUGAUGUUUGUAGAUGGAUUAUGUGUAGAGUGUUUUAGUACAAGUAUUUUUUUUAGGUAUAGUUGAACCAGUUAUUGUAUAUGAAUUGUGCGAUAUCAAGGUAGUUCUAAUGUUCUUUUAACAUCUUGCUAAUAAGGUGUUAGAGUAUUCUAAAUGCCAAACAUAGGAUAAUUUUACAAGCCAAAUAGAAGUUAAAUUGAAGGUAUUGCUGUUUAGGGCUGUAGGUAUAGUUUUAGUUAUGCAGCUAGUCCAAUAAAGUAGAUCAUGUUUUCUGUAGAAGCGUUAUAUAUAAAACUUGUAGAUAAUCUUUUUAUCUUACUUGUGUAAAAAUUUCAUGACCAUAGGUGUAGUAGUUUAGGAGUUAUGAUUUUUCCAAGUCCAGUCUCAGAAUCUGUCCAAAUUCUGUACAGGUUUCGAAAAUUGGAUUGCUUGGCUAAGCUAAACUGAGAAUCAGCCCUUAGUAAUUAUAGAAGAAUUUUAGUACUUUUCUUAAGCUUUCCAACAAAUUUUGGAGCACCCUUUUUGGUGGUCUAGAUAUCAAGUUACAGCUGUUUGAACUAUAGAGUCUGAAUUUGUCCAAAUUUGGACAGCGAAGUCUGUUUGUAGUAACUGACUUUGAUAUGUAUUGAAUUAACCUGAGAUGUUUAUAAAUGAAUUGUAGACAAUUCUAUUAACUUUCUAAAAAGUCUAGGAUCACCUGAUUUGGAUUUCGGAAACUCCAGUUCUGGACUUUUGAAGUAAGUAGUCGAAUUCUGUCCAAAUCUGGACAUAAUUUAUGUUUAGCGCUGUUUGACCUUUGUAAAGGUCGAAUUUUGUUGUGAUGGUAAUACAAAAGUUAUAGAGGACUUUAUAAGCUUUCCAAAAAGUUCUAGUUUACUAUUAUUGGAUACAUAUUUUAUGAAUUGUGAGCUAAACAGAUAGUUGCUGACUUGCUGUUCUGCUGUCCAAACACAUGUCUACUGUCUGAAAAUAGCUCAUUUUGUAGUUACAUUUGCAUUAGGCUUUGAUGAUUGCUGUACAAGGAUGAUAUGGCCUCCCGCCCAAAGCUGUCUGGUAUUCAGAAGCAGGUUUUGGCGCUGUAUAGGGGAUUCCUUCGGACAGCACGCCUUAAGGCCCCUGAAGAACGCCGCAGGAUCGAGUCUGUUAUCUUGGCAGAGUUCCGUGACAACGCAAGGAGUGUUGACCUUAGGAACUUUGUACACAUAGAGUACUUGUUGAGGAGAGGGAAGAAGCAUCUUGAGCAGCUCAAGAAUCCUGAUAUUACUGGACUCGCUACCCUUGUAGUAAAGAAAUGAGGUACGUAGUUUUCAAAAACACUUAUUUGACUGUGCAUGGUCUUCGAAACAAGUUUUAGUUUUUAAGUUUGACCAAAUCUUGUCAUAAACAUCAAGUUUUUUUUUUAAACAACGGAAGUCGAUUAGUAUUUAAAAUCAGCAAGUAUCAUCCAUUAGUAUUUUAGGUCUUUAGAUUUAAAAAUUGUGGACUUGUCAAAACUCUAUGUUAUUUGAUAAGGCUCUACUUGUUAAAUUAAGUGGUGUGGUGCUUGAUUUAGUCGAUGUGCUAUGCCCGAUAAUCUAGAUUAGUAACUCUAAAAUCUAGUUAAAGUAUUUCUAUUCGUCACUUUAAGUUAUAGGUAUCCAUGGUUGUUGUGUCUAAGUAUCCGAUUUCUGAGCUCUGCCCCUGCUGUUUAGGAUAGCAUAUGGAGUUCUUUAUGUUCCACAAGCACAAUUGAUCUUAUGGAAUGGAAAUAGUAGAACAUUACCUGGUGAGAGCACACAAAUACCUUAUACAAAGCAGGUAUUGAGUCAAAUUGUUGUGUACCCAUUUGUGGUCUGGAUACACUGGUUUGGUGAAAAUGAAAUAUGCCCAAAGCAACAAAACCCAGUUCACAUGAACUGCUAUCCUGUAUUUACGAAUCUUGACUAGUCUAGUAAUAUAUGUAUGUGGAAAUAUGAAGGUUUCUUUAUUUCUCUUCUUAAACAGCAAGAGAAGAAGGAAGACUAGUCAGACAAAAUAGAAGACGAGAAGAACUGAUGUAGCCAUGUUCAUGCUUCCAUGUAAUAGUUCAUUAUUCCAUACAUAUUUCUGUCUAUCCAGAAUCUACUAUUGAAAUACAUAUCUAGCAUAGCUUGCUCAGCUCCUAUAUGUUGUUUCAACGUUGAUUUAAAAGAAGAGCUGGUAGUUGUGGGCUUUUGAACAAUAGCUGGAGUGAUAUGAAAUAUUAGUGAUGUAGUUGUGGGCUUUUAAACUGCUUCAAGCUGGAGUGAUGUCGCUGUGGUGCUUUUGUGACUGAUCAUCUCUAGAGCUUUUGUGAAUGAUCUAGCUAGCUAUCUGUAAAUGAUCUAGUUGUGAAUGAUAUUAUAAUUGUGAUGCUUUUGUGAAUAUAUAAUUGUGGUGCUUUUGUGUUUAUGUGAUGGAUCUAUGACUGUGGUAUACUGAUUAACUGUGUAUGUCUUUAUGAUUUGUGUAUAAAAAUCUGUGAUUUGUGGUGCUUAAUUAAAUGUAUAUUUUUAUUAAUAACAACUGUAAAAGGGCGACUUUUUGUUGGUUGCUAAAUGUAUAGUAUGACGACUUACAGUUGGUUGCUAAAUCUAUACUACAGCAACCCACGGUUGGUCGCUAAAUAUACAAUAUUAGCAAUAGACGUCGGUCGCUAAAAAGAUGUCGGUCGCUAAAGCCUUUAGCGACGGCACUUACAGCGACCAUCCUUAUGGGUCGCUAAAAGUUUUUAGCGACCAACCGUAGGUCGCUGAAGGCCGUUUUAGCAACCAACCGUAGGUCGCUGUAAGUGAACCGUCGUGUAGUGGCUCUAGAGUGUACCUUUUUCUUCUUGCCGUCCUUAGCCAUGAGACACUUGUGGCCGAUGUUGGGGAAGAGGAGGCCCUUGUUGACGGCAAUGUUGGCGGCGUCCUCGUUGGAGGAGGAGUCGGUGGAGCUCUCGUCGGAGUCCUAUUCCCGACAUAUGUGUGCAUCGCUGCCCUUCUUCUUGUAGUAUCUCUUCUUCUCCUUCUUCUUCCCCUUCUUGUCUUCGUCCCUGUCACUUUCACUAGAAAUUGGACAUUUAGCUAUGAAAUGAUCGGACUUACCACAACGGUAACACACCCUCUUGCAGCGGGACUUGUAGUCUUUCCCCCCUCCUUUGUUUGAGGAUUUGACGGAAGCUCUUGAUGAUGAGUACCAUCUCCUCAUUGUCGAGCUUGGAGGCGCCGAUUGAAAGUCUACUUGGUGUAGACUCCUCCUUCUUUUCUUCUGUCGCUUUGAAUGCGACGGGUUGCACCUCGGGUGUAGAGGUGGCACCUUGCUCCAAGUUGACAAUGUGUUUGGAGUCUUUGAUCAUUAGUUCAAAACUCACAAACUUGCCAAUAACCUCCUCGGGAGACAUUAGUUUAUAUCUAGGAUCCCCACGUAUUAAUUGAACUUGAGUAGGAUUGUGAAAUACGAGGGAUAUAAGAAUAACCUUGACCAUCUCAUGGUCAUCACAUUUGGUGCUCCCGAGGUUGCACACUUGGUUCACCAUGGUCUUGAGCCGAUUGUACAUCGCUUGCGGCUCUUCUCCUUUGUUGAGGACGAAUCGACCGAGUUCUCCUUCGAUCAUCUCGCGCUUGGUGAUCUUGGUCACCUCGCCCCCUUCAUGCGCGGUUUUGAGGAUGUCCCAAAUUUCUUUGGCACUCUUUAACCCUUGCACCUUAUUAUACUCCUCUCGACACAAGGAGGCGAUGAGUAUAGACGUGGCUUGGGAGUUAAAGUGCCUAAUUUGGGCGGCCUCGUCCGAGUCGUAGUACUUGUCCCCCACCUUUGGUACAUGCGCUCCAAACUCAACAAUAUCCCAAAUGCUUUCAUGGAGUGAGGUUAGAUGGUGCCUCACUUUAUUACUCCACAUACAAUAAUCUUCACCAUCAAAAUAUGAUGGUUUGCCUAGGGGUACAUAAAGUAAUGGAGCACGCUUUGAAAUACGAGGAUAACAUAGGGGCAUCUUUCUAUACUUCUUGCGCUCAUGGUGCUUAGAAGUAAUGGACAAUUCGGAGCUUGAUGUGGAGGGUGACGAAGAGUCGGUCUCGUAGUAGACCACCUUCUUCAUCAUCUUCUUCUUGUCACCUCUCCGAUGCGACUUGAUGGAGGAAGAGGAUUCCUCCUUGUGUUUGUUGCCGGACUCCCUUGAGAGAGUCCUCCCCAAGCUUGCGGCCUUUUUCGCUGGUCAUGAUCUCCCUCUUGGCGUGAUCUUCAGACAUCACUUCGAGUUGGUUAGACUCUUAAUGAAGCACUGGCUCCGAUACCAAUUGAAAAGUCGCCUAGAGGGGGGUUGAAUAGGCGAAACCUGAAAUUUAUAAACUUAAACACACACUAAGGUCGGGGGUUAGCGUUAGAAUUAAAUUCAAGUCCAAAAGAAUAUCUCUCUUGCUAGGAGUUGCUCAAGGAUUGCGGAUGACGUAUGGGAGCCAACUCAAAUUCACACUAGCAAGGAAAUGUUAGAGAGACGAAAACAAAUCAAACAAGAAUCAAGGCGAGUGAACACGAUGAUUUGUUUUACCGAGGUUCGGUUCCAAAGAACCUAGUCCCCAUUGAGGAGGUCACAAAGACCGGGUCUAUUUCAACCCUUUCCCUCUCUCAAACGGUCACUUAGACCGAGUGAGCCUUUUCCUUAAUCUCUCAGGUCACUUAAACCCCGCAAGGACCACCACACACUUUGGUGUCUCUUGCUUCGAUUACAAGUCACUUAAGAAAUAGACGGGAAAAGAAAAAUGCCAAACCAAGCAACAAGAGCAACAAAGAACACAUGAUAUCCUCUCACAAGCCCUAAUGCACUAGAAUUGAUUUUGGGGCUUUGAGUGGAUUGAUUGCUUUGAUUGUGUCUUGGAGUGUUGGGCUUUGCUCUUGCAAUGAAUGAGAGUUCAGAAAUGCUUGGAUGGUUAUGAAUGAGGUGGUUGGGGGGGGUAUUUAUAGCCCCCAACCACUUCCAUAGCUGUUGGUGAAGGCUGCUGGCGAUGGGCGCACCGGACAGUCCGGUGCGCCACCGGACAACCAUUGUGCAUUAUCCGGUGCGUGCCACGUCAGUGCAACCGUUAGGGUUCGAAGCUGGUCGACCGUUGGAGUCUUUGUUGUCUUGCUGCACCGGACAGUCCAGUGCCACAUCGGACAGUCUGGUGCUCUCUGACUUCUGCGCUCUGACUUCUGACAUCCACUGUUCAUCGCGACAGAGUCGACCGUUGGCGCAGAGAGUCAUUGCUCCGCUGGUACACCGGACAGUCCGGUGAAUUAUAGCGGAGCGCGCCCUGGAAUUCCUGAGAGUGGCUGGUUCAUCUGCUGUAUGGCCUGGUGCACCGGACACUGUCCGGUGCGCCAUUUUUCAGCACACUCAAGUCCUUUUGCUCCAAUAAAUUGUGUCCCUAACUUAAUUUCUUUCUUGGUUUGUGUUGAACCUUAUGCACCUGUAAUACAUGAAUUCUUGACAAACUAGUUAGUCCAUGUGUUUGUGUUGUUCGUCAACCACCAAAAUUAAUUAUAGGAAAUGGUUAACCCUAUUUCCCUUUCACAACUCAACUGUCAGAUGAGUACUCCAUUACAGCACUUACGUACACGAGUUCUAUGAGAGCAGACCUCCAAAAUGAAUAUCUGCUAAGUGUUUAUCUACUUAGAUGAAGGACGACAAUCACUUUCUUGGGAAAUAUUAGCGACACAACUCCUUACAUCCUCCGCUUCUUCCUAGUGUUUUUUGUUGUGAUUGAGUCGACACAGCAACAACACUGCACUAUUACAACCAGUACGACUAUAUCAACUAGCAAUGUCUUCCUUAUAUGUUACUAUUUAUUUUGCUAAUAUUCAUUAUGUUUAAAUCACAUGUGCACCUUUCUAUUGACAUCAAAAAAUUAGUGGGGAUCGAGUGAUUCUUUAAACCGAUUAUUACACAAGUUAACCACACUAAAAUUAACAUUGGUGAAUCGUGCCAUGAUUUUUUUCUAGUGCAAAAUAGCCAAACCAAGCAAAACAUAUGUGGCUAUCGUUACACAUGUGUAAAGGUAUUGCAUCACACCAUUGUCACCCAUGUAUUUGGACAAUACCGAGAGGAAAAACCACUUAUUUAUUGUAUUUUAUCAAGUUUAUCUUGCUUACGUAUAAAUUAUAACCCAACAAAGUAAUCACUAAAUGUCAAAACCAACUAGAUACCAUGUCAUCUCUACCUUAUCUUACUAAUAUUCUUUUUGCAAAAUCGAAAAUUAAUCUUGCACAAGCACAAGGACUGAGAUGUGUAUAAAUAUCUCUUAGAUUAGUAGAUAAUAUAUCGCACAUAUUAUUGAGACCAACUAGCAACAUAGAAAGCACAAUAUUGUACCAAUAAUGGCAGCCAAAAUAUUUUGCCUCAUUAUGCUCCUUGGUCUUUCUGCAAGUGCUGCUACGGCGAGCAUUUUCCCGCAAUGCUCACAAGCUCCUAUAGCUUCCCUUCUUCCCCCAUACCUCUCACCAGCGAUGUCUUCAGUAUGUGAAAAUCCAAUUCUUCUACCCUACAGGAUCCAACAGGCAAUCGCAGCAGGCAUCUUACCUUUAUCACCCUUGUUCCUCCAACAAUCAUCAGCCCUAUUACAGCAGUUACCUUUGGUGCAUUUAUUGGCACAAAACAUCAGGGCACAACAACUACAACAACUCGUGCUAGCAAACCUUGCUGCCUACUCUCAGCAACAGCAGUUACCUUUGGUGCAUUUGUUGGCACAAAACAUCAGGGCACAACAACUACAACAACUCGUGCUAGCAAACCUUGCUGCCUACUCUCAGCAACAACAGUUUCUGCCAUUCAACCAACUAGCUGCAUUGAACUCUGCUGCUUAUUUGCAGCAACAACAACUACUACCAUUCAGCCAGCUAGCUGCUGCCUACCCCCGGCAAUUUCUUCCAUUCAACCAACUGGCAGCAUUGAACUCUCAUGCUUAUGUACAACAACAACAACUACUACCAUUCAGCCAGCUAGCUGCUGUGAGCCCUGCUGCCUUCUUGACACAGCAACAUUUGUUGCCGUUCUACCUGCACACUGCGCCUAACGUUGGCACCCUCUUACAACUGCAACAAUUGCUGCCAUUCGACCAACUUGCUUUGACAAACCCAGCAGUGUUCUACCAACAACCCAUCAUUGGUGGUGCCCUCUUUUAGAUUGCUUAUGAGUUAUAGUUCAAUAAUAAAGUUUUUUUUGCUGAUAUUUGUGGCUUCCCAGAAAUAAGAAAGUACAUUUCUAGAUUCUUAUGUGCUUCUAGUCUCCAAAUGUGGUUGAUAGUUAUUUUGCUCUAAGAUCGGCAGUAAUGAGGUAUAAAUACUUGUUGUCGUGUGCUACUCGGUUAAUUGAGCAUUAACACACAUAAACAUUACAAGGAUGGUAUAAUCUCCUAAAAUGUGUACAUUGUUAGGUGUAACCCUAUAGCCAUGCAGAAUGUGCUAUGUUAGGCAUGCCGAUGGAAACGUGUGACACAUACGUUUUGUUAACCUAUUGAUAUUAUAUGUGCCUUUUAUAUUACCAUAUUUUAUUAAAAUACUAAUAUUUAUUACUAGUAAGAUAUAACAUUCUAUCUAGCUUAAAAACUAACCAUAAAUAUUCCAUCAUAACUAGAUUUACCAAACUAAUAUACUAAAUAUACAUAAUAAAUACAAAAUUAACAAUACAAUAUCAAUAUUUAUGAGCUUAAUAAAUUUAAACAUUAUGGUUGGCCGACGAUAAUCAUACUGACUUUCCGUAAUUGCUUGAUUGUAAAUAUACUUAGACUAAUGCCUCUUUGUUCUACAUGGCAAAUAGGGACCACUCUAGGAGACUAGGAUGUUGCUUGAGACGAAGAUGUUAUCAUUGGUGUAGACUAAUUUCUAUCAGCCGCUGACUUCACUAUUGUAACCAUUAUCUCUUGGGUAAAUCAUAUACGAUUAUCUAGCCAAAGGCCCAGAUGAUAAAAACAAUUUUUAAUUGCUAUUUCAGGACAAAUGAAUUAGCAUGGUUCGAAGGAUUGCGACCUUCCCCCCAUGACUUUUAUCGUAUUGUGUUAGUCUAAUCGACAAAACCAAGAUUAGAUAUCAUCGAAGAAGUUGAUAAGCGAAUCUGUGACCACUAUCAGAAUCAGCUGCUUUGCCGAGUGUCUAAAACACUCGACAAAGCCUGAAAAACACUCGGCAAAGGAUUUGCCGAGUGUAACACUCAGCAAAGAAAGCUCGGCGAAGUAUACAUCGGCAACGACUUCUUUGCCGAGUACUUUUUAUCGGGCACUUGGCAAAGAAGCGUCAUUGUCACGACGAUAGGUAAUGCCGACGGAGUCUGUGACGAGUGUCACAGAGUGACGCUCAGCAAAGGCUCACUCUUUGCUGAGUGACCACUGUACAGACACUCGGCAAAGAAGCCCCCGUGGGUCCCUUUAUCAGGGCCUUUGCCGAGCGUAUUAGGUGGCACUCGGCAAAGGCUCCAUCUUUGGUGACUGCCCGCCAGACUAGCAAUCGACAAAGGGAUCAACAGCGGAUCCCUUUGUCAGUUCUUUUGUCGAGUGCUCUAGGAGGCACUCAAUAAAGCUUGUGUUGGGGGCCUUCUUCUUCCGAAGGUCCUCAAAAACGUGACUAACCAUAGGUUUUCAGUAUGACAUAGACUAUUAUAGGAAGCUUUGGCUUUGGGAUGAAGGCGUGUGAUAUGAGGAUACAGCCCAAAGGCAACAUGGAUGGACGUCGAAGCUAUGGCUAAAGGAGUUUCGGCUUGGCAUGUUAGCGAAGAUGAAGGACGAAACCGACCUAAGGGAGAAAAGACUAGUUAGUCCUUGAUAGUUUGCAUUAUGAUUAAGAGCAGAUAUCAGGGGCAUGCAUGUAAUCUUAUCCGGGCUGCGUCCCGUGCCUAUGAAUAGAUGAAUAGUAACACCGUACUGUUCACGCUGGAUUAUAAUCGCUCCUACGUCACUCUCGCGUCUUCACCUUUUGGUAAGCUGAAGGUAUCAAUGUAAUACAAAUAUUGAUGAUGUUUAUUCAUGUUUAUGAAAUGAGAAUAUAAAUAGCUUGCUGAUUCGUAAUCAUUAUUUAUAUUCUUUUGUAUUUCAUGUACCCUUAUUUAGAUGUGUUCACUGAGAUGAUGAAGGUAUGCCCUUCAUGACCUUCGUUCGGAAACCAUUAUAUCCAAAAGGAGAUAAUGCUUCGAAGGACGAAGGUCUCUAAUUAUUGACAAUCAUGUUGUCUUGUUCUUGAUGUAUAGCAUUUGGGAACAAGGACCAACAUUGGCGCCCACCUCCCGUGAACUCAAUCGACCACCUUCGGCAAGCAUCGACUUUCGUAAUGCCGCCGAAGAAGACAAUAGUGCCAGGGGCUGCCCUGCAGCCACUGGACACUAAUCAGGAAACGCUGCGAGAAGCUAGGAUCUAGAAGAGGAAGGCUACUAGCCCAACACCUCAGGAGGAGGAGCUAGAUCAGGAGAUCAGAGAUUUGGAGGCUAUCACCAGCAGGUACAAAGAAAAAGGGAAAAGAUGCUUCAGCUCGUCGAACUUCAGAGAAAGAUCGACAAAGCUGCUGAAGAAAUGCGUCACCUUACCCAGGAUGACCAAGACCGAAGGCCCCAACAUAGGGAGCUUCAUCAAGAAAGCCCAAUUAAUGACGAUGAGUGGUAUGGUGACUUUCAUCGUGGCAAUUUUGCUUUUGAUGAUGCUUCUCCCUUGGCAGCAGAAUUGCAGGCUACCCCGUGGCCGCCAUCAUACAAGCCACCUCAGCUCCCCAUGUAUGACGAGCACUCAGACCCGAAGCAACCAUAUCCUCAUAUGGGGGCAAUACUGCGGUCAUGGCAAAGUCCUUCGUCAUGGCAGUUAGAAGCGUGGCUCAAACAUGGUGCUCUUCUCUUCGGCCAGGGACAAUUACGUCGUGGCAAAAGCUAAAAUACAUACUGGUCACUAGCUUCUAGGGUUUCCAAUCGAAACCAGUUACUGUCCAAACUCUGUUCCAGUGCACACAGGACCAAGAAGAAUACCUCCAAGCGUAUGUCCGAAGGUUCCUGCGAUUGAGAGUUCAGGCGCCUACAGUGCCCAAUGAGAUUGUCAUUGAGGCCAUGAUCAAGGGGUUCAGACCAGGACCAACGGCGCAAUACUUUGCAAGGAAGCCACCACAAACCCUAGAGAAGCCGACGAUGAUUUUCGGCAAAGAAGGCAAGAAGCCUACAGAUACUCUGAGAUGGCCAGGGGCUUCGGAGGAAGAUUUCACCCUAGGCAUGUCAGGUCAAUCCAUAAUACCAGCUCAAGUGACGACAAGGGAAACCAUACCCAAAGGCAGCAACACAGCUCUCAGUCGUCAGGAGCACAACAAAGCUCUUUGAGGCCACCGGCUCCAAGAGGUAGAGGGGGGAGAAGCUUCGGAGGAAGAUAUGGAGAUCAGCCCAGUAAACAGUUUUGUUUGUUCUGCGGUGAAGAUAAGGGGCAUACCACAAGAACGUGCCAAGUUAUGAUUCAGAAGCAGAAAGAAAUUGCUGAAGCUGAAGCACGUUCGAAUCAGCCGAAGCAGGUUCUGCAUACUGCUUCGUGCUACUCUCCCUACGUCCCGGAGUAUGUAGACAAUCAACAGCCUACGACCUUGGUCGCUUCGGCAAGCCAUUCUCAAGCUUCCUGGGCCCAGUUGCCACCACCACCACCGCUAGCACAUGCUCUGGUCCGCAAUCAAUAGCCAGAAGGGCACCACCAUGCUUAGUAAUAGCGCGACCUUCGGGAGGAGUCCGAAGCUCGCACAGUCAACAACAUUGUGCCUAAGUCGAAGCACAUCUAUUAAAGGUGCCACGGUGAUUCAAUUAAAGAAUAUCUUACCCUAAUGUAUCUUAGUUUUUCCGCCAUUUUAUUUUCUUGCAUGAAAAACAAUUCACGAAGGAUUAAUUUCCAAUUUGAUGUAAUAAUACCGUGGUCGCACCAUCGAGUGUGGAGCGCAUCGCCUUAACAAUACUUCCGAAGCUACAAAGACGUUCCUAAGGGAGCGCGGAGUAAGUUCUGAAGCUACAAAGUUGUUCAUAAGGGAGCGCAGAGUAAGUUCCGAAGCUCAAAAGUCGUUCUUAAGUGAAUGCAGAGCCAAGAUGCCACCAAAAUAAAAGGUGAAGAAGCUCAAAAGUCAUUCCUAAGGGGAUGCAGAGCUUAAAUGCCACCGAAAUAGAAGGUGAAGAAGUUCCAAAGUCGUUCCUAAGGGGAUGCAGAGCUUAGCUCCAAAGAUGUUCCUAAGGGGAUGCAGAGCUGAAAUAUAACCUAAGUAAAAAGUGAAGAGACUCAAAAGUCGUUCCUAAGGGGAUGCAGAGUCUGGAUGCAUUUUCGAGUGGGUGUGUUUCUUCGGCAUAAACAUCAUGCUGUAUCAUAUCAUCACAUCAUUUCUCAUAGCAUUACAUCAUACAUCACAUCACAUCAGCAACAGAACUGUGGAGAAGCAAAGAUGCUUCUUUCAAAAUAUUUGAUGAAUGGAACAAUGGGCUGAAGCAGAAAGUGUACCUUCAACAGCUAUAAUUUUACAUACCAAGAAAAAUCUUCGUCGACAAACAAUAUUAUAUAACAGCUACGACAUAAGAAGGGGUGAUUUUUUAUUUGUGAAGCAUGAAAAGAAGGGAAGGUGUUUUUUCACCAAAGGCUAAAAAACAGGUAAGUACAUACAUUUCAUGCAUCACAAAGAAAUAUAUUACAUUAAUAUACAAACAAAUGUUCGAUGUUCGACUCAUACACGAAUAUUACAUUUCUUAGUACACAAGAAUUUAGUCUUCUUUCAAUAUUUUCUCGGUAGCUUCAUGUAGGAGUUUGUUGACAGCUUCAUCAACGGCUUCUUCGGCAAUCCUUAUCGUUUCUAAUGCCCCCCUCAUGGCCGGAUCGGCCUCGGGAUCAUAUGGCUCAGGCGGUGGUGAAAAAUCAGCUGUAAUAAAGAACAAGUUGUUAAUAUCAAAGCCAGAAACAAAUACUGAAGCUAAAAUUCAGUAAUAAUACCUAUACGCCUUGCGCGCUCAGCAACCUCUUGGCUCGCUUAGCUUAUUCUCGAGCAUCAUGGGAUUCUUUUUCAUUUGUCUUUAUAGCUUCAUCGGCUAUCUCACGGCCACCUUUCAUCCAAACAUUGGAAUAAAACUUCUCGCCCAUCAAAGUAGCUUCGGCCGAAGGCUCCUUCAUGUCGUCUAUGGAGAAGACGGCUUCCGCCUGGGCUGCAGUUUUAACAUGUUCACAGCCAGUUUUCUCCAAAACUGCUGCAACCCCUCGGGCACCGGCGAAGGCACAAAAAUCCUCGCGUUCGCUAAGUAUUUCCUCAAAAGCUUCAACUUCUUCGCAAAUCCAUUGAACGACUCCUUUUGGAUCGCCUCGAAUAAAUUUUUGCUCCGAUGAGUAUGCACCCACCUUUGCAAAACUGUCUUUCAGUUUCUUUGCAUAGUCCAUGGAUACUUCGUAGCAUUUCUCUCUGGAACCCCGAAGUUCUUCAACAUUCUUCUCAAGCCUGGAGCUUGUCCAUUCACUUAUAUCUUACUUUGCCUUAGCAAGUUCAAUAUUUUCGCUCAUUUCGGCAAGUUUUUUGUGAAGGUCUUCGACUUCGGCUUGGUGAGCUUCGGAUUGUGCAUUAAGUUUUGCUUCGUUGCUCUUCAGUUUAUCCACCAAGGAAAGCAGUAUUUUAUCUUUUUCAAGCGCCUCGUUCCUUAAUGUAAUAACUUAUGACCGAAGGUUCCCAAGGGCUAUUUGGCAGCUUUCAUCUUCUGCAUUCUUUUGUGCCCUUAAAGCCUUGCUUAGGAUUAAUGCCUACAAAAAAUGAAGGAUCAGCACACAACAAUAAGAAAAGAUACAAAAAGUAAUCUGCUUAUAAGCUAAAAUGUCCUCACCAUCAGACUGUUAUAAGCAAGGAUGUCUGCAAGGUCAUCUUUCGACAUUGCAGACAACCCAAGCUCUAGCUUCGGGAAACCUAUAUUUUUUGCCAUCUCCCGACAAACAAAUAUUUUCUUGUUGUCUGGAAGGCAAUACAAAAAAUCAUCUUCGUCAGUGCCAUUAAACAUGAGGGAUCCUGGGGGAUACUUCAGAUCCUUAGCAAAUUGCCUAGCUUCGGCAACCUGCUCCUCUGAUAGUUUUUCCCUACCGCGUGACACACUAUAAAUUCCGAUCCCUCAGUAGAAGCUUCAACGGCAAGGAAUUCAGAUUCUUUGCUGGUUCUCUCUUUUCCUAACGGUAACGGAGCUUUUUCAGCAUCCAAAGGUCCUUUUUCAGCAUCCUUUUCAAUAAGCUCUGCAGGCCCUAUUUCUGCGGGAACUGAGGGCCCAGCUUCAGCUUCAACCCAAGUUAUGAUAGCUUCGGCAGUUUCCUUUGUACUUUUCUUACCCAUGCUAGGUACUUCUGUAGAGGCAGGAGUUAGUACUUUUGUCGAUUCCAUGACAGCAUCCAGUACACUAGCCAUUCUCCUCCUUUUUGGAGUUAUCAAAGUAGUUUUUUGAAUCUUCGGCAAUUCUGCCUCUGGCCGUGAAAAAGUUUUUGGCUGCUCCGCUGCUAUCUUCAGAAUUGGCUCUUCGGCUGAUCCCAAUAUGGCUUCGGCAGUAGCGAGAUGAUUUUGCUCAGCUGCAGAAGAAGACCCUUCAACAGGCUUUGACACUUUGGCCGUCUCAGAGUGCCUGGGCCGGUGUGUCAAGACUUUGCCAUUUUUCCCUUCGGCGUGGCAGAGAUUGCCGAAGCAGUAGCCUUCCUUUUCUUUCCCUGCUUUCGCGAGGGAUAACAAUAGUCUGGGUACACAAAACCAAUUACAUCAAAAACCCUAUUUAAUCUCUUCUUGCCUCGUCCUCCGAAGGCCAAUGUCAUGGCAUCGUCUUCGGCCCUUGUGUAGGCCCCAAGCAAUUCGUCACUAGUAGCCUCAAUGCAAUCCAACCAGUCAUCGUUCGGCUCAUCGAACUGAUCUCUGUAUCUGAAGGUGUAUUUCAGAUAAACUAAACUAACUUGACUGGACCCGGCCGCAGCUUCCUUCGACAUCUCCCAGCCACUUCCAAGAGGCCACACUCUGUAAGCAAUAUGCUCCUAGACUAAGUCCCUAGUGCCAAUAUAAGUACAUAAAGUGUUAAAGUCCGUAUGGCAUGCUUGAAUAUCAUGUCCAUGGACAGUGGUUGGCCUCCUAAUGCCGAAGCGAGACCAGAUAGGGCAUUGAAUGAUCCCCUUUAUAUCUUCUCUUUCAACUAAGUUGUUCUUCACAUAAAACCACUCUUGCAUCCAGGCUCCUGGCCACCUCUUCCAAAAUGUUGGGACGGGAUAGCUCACACCAGAGCGAGGCAUGAAGCCGUAACAACGAAAAUUAUUAUGAUAUUGUUCUAUGCCAGUAGCCUUUGUCUCAUAGGACAGGUCAUGCAUGUUGCAGAAGCAUUUUGCAUUCGGCUCUAAACCCUGGCCCAAAUGAAAACUCCCAUUCUGAUGAUAUCUUCGGGGGUAAUUUGAUGAAGGUAAAUUUCAAAAGUCUUCAAAACUUCAACUAAAAAUUUGUUCAGGGAGAAUCGAAGCCCUGCUUUCAUAGAACUCCUGUAGACAACAACUUCGUCUGCUUCGGGCAUAGGGGCACUGCUAUCUCCUCUGGCCCUCAUGAUAGAAAUAUCGCGGAAGUAUCUUCCUUUCAUUGCAUCAAUCUGACUCUGUUUGAUGGUUGAUUUAGCAAAGAUGGUAUGACUCGGUCGCCAGGGCUGAUCUUCGACAUCUUCGUUUCCACUUUCUAAGUCAAAACUUUCACUAUCGCUGGAAUCUUCAGACAACCCAACCAACAUCUCAUUGGUGAUCUUCUUCAUAUUUGUCUUCUCCAUAGCUUCAUAAAACCCGGCCAAUGCAGGGUCAGCAAUCUUCUUCUCUUUAGCCAUUUAGACAACGAUUGCACGAUUGUCGAAGCUUAAAACUCAAUCAAAACUCGACAGAGCAAGAGAAUUCAGAAUGUCUAAAAUAGCGCAAGCAACUGAAAUAGCACAGCAAAUGCUGCCAAUGCGAGUUUCUAUUUAUAUGCCUCACGAUUUGGUGGGCCAUACAUGUCAGUGGCUUUCGCUAUUCUAGCGAAGGGAAGGUGUUUUUUCGGAUCUUCGGUUAAAGGCCUUCGUUCACGUCACAGUCUAAAUUUGUUACAAAGAAACAAAUUAAUACUACGAGGGGCUACUGUUGGGGGCCUUCCUUUUCCGAAGGUCCUCAAAAACGUGGCUAACCAUAUGUUUUCAGUAUGACAUAGACUAUUAUAGGAAGCUUCGGCUUUGGGAUGAAGGCGUGUGAUAUGAGGAUACAACCCGAAUGCAACAUGGAUGGACGUCGAAGCUAUGGCUAAAGGAGCUUCAGCUUGGCAUGUUAGCGAAGAUGAAGGACGAAACCGACCUAAGGGAGAAAAGACUACUUAGUCCUUGAUAGUUUGCAUUAUGAUUAAGAGUAGAUGUCAGGGGCAUGAAUGUAAUCUUAUCCGGGCUAUGUCCCGUGCCUAUAAAUAGAUGAGAAGUAACACCGUACUGUUCACGCUGGAUUGUAAUCGCUCCUACAUCACUCUCGCAUCUUCACCUUUUGGCAAGCCGAAGGUAUCAAUGUAAUACAAAUAUUGAUUAUGUUUAUUCAUGCUUAUGAAAUGAGAAUAUAAAUAGCUUGCUGAUUCAUAACCAUUAUUUAUAUUCUUUUGUAUUUCAUGUACCCUUAUUUAUAUGUGUUCACUGAGAUGAUGAAGGUAUGCCCUUCAUGACCUUCGUCCGGAAACCAUUAUAUCCAAAAGGAGAUAAUGCUUCGAAGGACGAAGGUCUCUAAUUAUUGACAAUCGUGUUGUCUUGUUCUUGAUGUAUAGCAUUUGGGAAUAAGGACCAAUAGCUUGCUUCUUUGCCGAGUGCCAAGGCCACAGCACUCGGCAAAGAGUCUUUACCGGUGCGCAGGUGUGCCUUCUUUGCCGAGUGCUAUGACAUUGACACUCGGCAAAGUAUCUCUUUGUCGAGUGUAACACUCGACAAAGUGACCAGAUUAUCCCUUUUUAUUUGUUUUUGCUAUUCCAUCCAAACAAAUAAAAGAUAUAUCGCAUAAUCAUCACAUAUACAUCAUAGAUAUCACAUAAUCAUCGCAUACAUAAUAGAGACUGCAUAUUUCACAAAAAACACAAAUCUCACAAGUUUUUCUCAAACAUGUCCAUGUUCAUACCAAGAUUCACUAACAUAAGUAUCACACAACUCUAAAACAUAAGUUUUUCACAAACAUAAGUUUAGGACAAGUUUAUCACACAAGCUAAGAGAAGAUCAUGAGCGAGGUGGGCGGCUGGACUGGUGCGGCGACGGGCUGGGCGAUCCACGAGGGUUGUUGGAUGCCGCCCUAGAUUGUCCCUGCACAGAGAAGAGAUUGCCUGUGUUAUACUAGAUAAAUAUACAUCAUGCAGGACUAGAAUUUUGAUACUCAUAGGAGUAUGGAACUGAGCAGGGUCAACUGGAGGGAACAACGGAGGUGGUGGAGCAAAACCCUGUGCGGUGCCAAGGCUCUGCAUGUACUGGAACAUCUCUGCCAUCCUCUGUUGAUUUUCCAUGUGGGCCUCCCGCUCCGCCAUCAUCCUCGCCUCCAUAUCCUACCGUUCCCUCCUCUCUUCUUCUAGCUAGGCAUAUAAUAUUUCAACCCAGUGUUAUAAUAACUCAAAGAGAAGGUAUAUAACUCAAGGAAAGACGAGUUACAGAAGCACUAACCUGGAGUUGUUGUAUCUCAUGAUGUGAGUUGUCCUGUCGAGGUCGUAUGGCUGGGCUUGAGCUCGUGGUCCUUGCUCGCACCUGAGACAGAGUGGGAGUGGACAACGAGUCGAUUGUCCCGUCGGCAAUCCAGUACCUCCCAUGCCUCUUGCCUCCUCUGACCCUCAUGAGAACAUCUCCGUCGAUUUCCUUGGUCCUCGGAUCGUAAUCUGGCCCAUGGACCUCAUGUGACAUGGCAGUGUACUCACUUAGGCGGUUGUAGACGGCGGAGUUGCUAUAUGCCUCGGGCCCGUCAUCCGGGUUGUAGGUGACAUCGGACGUCGCCUUUCCCUUGUGGGCCAUAGCAUAAACCGAGAAGAUGGAGCAUGGCUGGCCACCAUGUAACACCAAAUGCAAUAAAAUCAAUGAGAUAGUUAGAAAUAAUAUCUAAACCAGUGCUAUAUACCUAAAUAAAAAGAGGGCGUACCCAUGCUUCUACAUAUUUCCAGAGGUUGCGACUGCCUUGGUGGUGGGAGGGACCUUACAUCAUCAAAUGUCGUUCCAUGCUAGCGUUGUGCGCCUCGUCCCACUUAGGCGAGCACCACCUAUCCACCAUCUGCUCCUAGCACUGAGGAUGCGCGGCGCACCAAUAAGGAAUCAUCUACAAACUAAAACAAGUACAUUGCAUAUCAGAAGAUAAAAUUAAGCAAUUUUUUUCACGAAUAUUAAAGUGAUGUAUUUACCUGCAAGUAUUGGUCCCUAGUCAACGACAUGGUUCGGGCCUCUUGUUUGGUCACCUUCUCUCUAAGGACGGAGCCAUGGUAGAUGAUGAUGACCUAGAUUCGUGCAUCGUAGUGCAUGUCCACGACGAGCUUCUUACAGCUUGUGGUGGCCACCACAUUUGCCCUGGCCUCGUAUCCAGCCUCGCAUCUGAAGAAAUCCUACAUACAAAGGCGAUAUAUCCAUACAUUAUUUCAAGUAUGUGCAACAAAUGCGACAUAUUUUACAAUAUAGUAAGACUUACUCAUAGCUUUUGCUUCACCCGCUCUGCCAUGUUGUUAAAUUCCCUAUCGUCCUAGUCUACUGCAUCAGGGGUGACGACGUAGUGGUCGAAGGUGUAGGCAGUAGGUUGGGCCCACCACUCCAGCGUACUCAACCAGUCCAGGGAAGUGUUCCCUACACAUAAGGCCAAGGAUGCCAUUGGGUUGUGGUCGUGACUCCCUGCAUUCUCCACAACCUUUCAAGACCUGUCCAAGUGAUAAAUAAAAAGUAUUAGUUUAUAUUAUGAAUUUGAACACAUAAUAUGAACAAACAGUGAGAACAUAAAAUUACAUGUCUCUCCCCAUCCUUCUGAAUCAGCGACCGCCUAUCUCGAAGUAUGGGACGCUGAGGGAGACUCGUGGGACCUCGCUGGUAGACGUUCCUCGAAUCUGAAGCACCAGAACCUGAGGCGUCUUGCUGAGCGUCGUCGUCGUCCUACUGUGUCGCAUCGAUAACGACCUGCUGCUGGACGUCGUCAUCCUGUUGUGCCUUCUUCGCCUUCCUACGGGUGCUCCUCCUCCCCCUCCUUGUCCUCAUCCCACCGCCCACCAUAUUUGUCCAACAACCUGUAAUUAAGGGUAAGCAAAUAAGCACAUAUAAAAAAGUUUAUUUACAAAUAGGCGUGAAAUAAAAAAAAUAGCAUUACAUCGUUUAAAAAAAUCUUCAUAUGUGUCGGGGUUAGCCAGAUCAUAAGUGUCAUCAUCACAAUCAACCAUUUCAUAGUCAACACCAUCUGAAGGCGCAAGUUCUUCAUUAAUGUCAUUGCCUUCAAGUAAUUCUAAGUCAUUCUCAUUUUGCACCUCAUCAACAACCAUUUCAAUAUCUACUUCCAUUCCGAUAGCUUCGGUUAAGUCUAUCUCAAAUCACCCUUCUAGCCCAUAUUCUUGGAAGAACUCUCCAUCAUAUGUAUCCGGGUCUAAGUUAUAAUCUUCAUCAUUUGGAACAGGUAAUUUACCGUGCAGUGAUACCUUAUACACAACAUCCCAACCCAUCCAUGCCUCAUAUAGGAGAUGAAGAAUCAAAUGCUGCAUUGGAUUGAAGAAGUCGAGUGGAAAUAUCUUCUCAAGCUUACACAAAAACACGGGUGUCAAUCUUUCCAAGUCUGCAAUCACGGACCAAGAUAACUCUUUCACACAAAGCUGGCAGAAUAAAUAGCUGAACUUUGUAAGCGCUAGCCAUACAUGCUCAGGGACAUAGCCUCGAACCAUCGUCGGAAGAAUCUGUUCAAUCCAUAAGUGGAAGUCAUGACUCUUCAUCCCUAAGACUCACAGAGUAGAUAAGUUCACCCCCCUACUUAGGUUAGCUGCAUACCCAUCAGGAAACAUCAACAUCUUGAUCCACUAAAGUACUUCCUUCCUCUGGGCCCUACUUAGGACGAAAUCGGCCUUAGACCUUCUCCAUGUCUUUCCACCACUAGGCGGCUUCAUUUCUUGGUUUGGUCUAUCACAUAACGCUGUCAGAUCCACUCUUGUCUUUACAUUAUCCUUUGACUUAUCAGGAAUGUCCAUAAUUGUUGCCCAAAGUGCCUCGGCGACAUUCUUUUCAGUGUACAUCAAGUCAAUGUUGUGUGGAAGGAGUGGGUCAUCAUAAUAGGGGAGCCGAGUCAAGCCCGACUUAUGUGUCCACAUAUGCUGCUCACCAUAUCCCACAAAUACACCUUCUGGAUUGGCCACGAGCCCAUCUAUUUGUUGACGAAUUUCGGCACCAGUCAUCAUUGCAGGUGGUUGGUCUGUCACUACAACACCUUUCGUAAAGUUAUUGAUGUCUAGGCGGAAUGGAUGGUUAGGAGGGAGAAAUUGUUGAUGUUUAUCGAACAACGAAUAUUUGCCACCCUUUUUCAACCAAAUGAACUUAAGAGCUUCCUUACAAACUAGGCAUGGGAACUUACUGUGAACACAAUAGACACAGAAUAGCCCAUACGCCGGUAAGUCAUGCAUGGCGUACUAGUACCAAACAUGCAUUUUGAAGUUUUUCUUCGUAGCUCGGUUAUACGUCCAUACCCCUUCCUCCCAAGCAUGUACGAUUCAUCAAUCAAAGGCUCCAUGUACACGCCCAUUUUAUUCCCCGGGUGUCCGAGAAUUAUCAACGACACAAAUAUGUUCUGCCUUUAAAAGCAUACACCGGGGGGAGAUUGAUUGGGAUAACAAACACGGGCCAACAUGUGUAUGGGGCAGCGCUCAUUCCAUAGGGAUUGAACCCAUCUGUGGCCAGCGCAACACGUACAUUAUGAGCCUCUUCAGCUUUCUCGCGGUAAAUGGCAUCAAAGUGUUUCCAUGCUUCACCAUCGGAUGUGUGCACCAUCUUAUCAUGAUUGUAUCGUUUGCCAUUUUUGUGCCAUGUCAUCUGUUUCGCGGAUUCCUCAGUCAUGUAUAGACGCUGGAUCCUCGGUGUGAACGGAAGGUGGUGUAGGAUUGUCACGGGGAUGUCGAGCUGCCUAUCAUGUCCAUCACCAAAGUCUACCUCCAUGAACCUAGACGAUUUACACUUCGGACAGUACUUUGCUUCCGUGUAUUCUUUCCUAAAUAGCACGCAGUCCUUCGGACAAGCAUGUAUCUGCUCAUAUGUCAUCUUGAGUGCACGGAGGAGUUUCUGUGUGUUGGGGACCUUCGGCAUCCGAAGGUCCUCAAAAACGGGAUUUAACAGUAUUUCUGGAAGUAUAAUGUGUGAGCAGGUACCUUCAGACUCAAGUCGGUAUCACGGCAGGAGAAGACCCGGAUAAUACGAAGGUCUUGAUACAACGCCGAAGAUGUUAGCAGGAAAGCUUCGGCAUGGUUGCAGAAAAUGAAACCGACUUAAAGAUGAAAAGGCUAUUCAGACCUCGAUAGAUUACUAUAGAAUUAUUAUCAAAUGUAAAGGGCAUGAAUGUAAUUUUGUAUGGGCUGUGUCCCGUGCCUAUAAAUAGGUGAACAGAACCCCCGUACUGUUCACGCUGACUUGGCAUUCGCUUUUUGCGUCACGCUUGUACUGUCAUCUCCUUCCGAUUGAAGGUACACUUGUAAUUCAACGAUAUUUCUGUUUAUGUCUGAUAAUAAUAUAUAAUUGUUCAUAUUGUCUUUUAUGUUCUUUACAUUUCAUUCUUCGUCAUUGCUUAAUGAAUUUAUGAAGGUACGUCCUUCAUAACCUUCGUCCGUAAACCAUUAUAUCCUAAGGGAAAUAAUGUUUCGGAGGGCGAAGGACUUUAACGAUUAACAUUUUCUAUGUUGCCUUGUUCUUAACUCAUAGCACUUGAGAACAAGUCCCCAACAUUGGCGCCCACCUCCGGUGAACUCACUUCCACUCUUUGAAGUUUUUUGAACACCUUCGGCGAUCAUAAAUCUUCGUUAUGGCGCCGAAGAAAGCUUCAGCGACUGGGGCUGCAGCUCUGCAACCACUGGACCACAAUCAGGAGACAGUUUCCCUGCGGGAGGCCCGAAGCCAGAAAAGGAAGGCUGUCAGUCCGACACCACCAGAGGACGAGAUAGAUCAAGAAAUCAGAGAUAUGGAGAUGCUUCAUCAACAAGUACAGAGGAAGAAAGAAAAGAUGGCCAGGCUAGCUGAACUGCAGAGGCAGAUAGACGAAGCCUCUGAAGAAGUUCGUCAUCUUGCUCAGGAUGAGCAACACCGAAGGCCUCAGCACCAAGACCUUCAUCAGGAGGGUUUUCCCAACGAAGAUGACUGGUAUGACAAUUUCCAUCAUGGGAAUUUUGUUUUUGAUGAUGCUUCUCCUCUGUCCGCUGAGCUGCAGGCUACACCUUGGCCUCCGUCCUACAAGCCGCCUCAGCUUCCCGUAUUCGAUGGUCACUCAGACCCGAAGCAGUUUUUGAUGAGCUACGAAGCAACAGUAUCUUCGUAUGGUGGCAAUGCUUCAGUCAUGGCCAAAUCUUUCGUUAUGGCUGUCAGAAGUGUUGCUCAAACCUGGUAUUCCUCCCUUCGACCAGGAACGAUCACUUCAUGGCAGAAGCUGAAGGACUUGUUGUUAACUAGCUUUCAAGGAUUUCAGACGAAGCCGGUCACUGCUCAGGCUCUGUUCCAGUGCACCCAGGAUCACGAAGAAUACCUUCAGGCGUAUGUCCGAAGGUUCUUGCGUUUGAGGGCACAGGCACCAACGGUGCCCAAUGAAAUUGUCAUCGAGGCCAUGAUCAAGGGGCUUCGGCCAGGACCGUCAGCUCAGUACUUCGCCAGGAAGCCUCCUCAAACUUUGGAGAAGCUGCUCCAGAAGAUGGACGAGUACAUUCGGGCCGAUAAUGAUUUUCGCCAAAGAAGGGAGGAGGCUUUCAGGUUUUCUGAAAUGACCAGGGGCUUCGGAGGGAGGUUCUACCCGAGGCACGUGAGAUCAAUUCAUAACUCUACACAAAAAUGAUGAUAGAGGAAGCCAACAGCAAAGGCCACAAUGCUCCUCACAGGCUUCGGGGCAACAGCAAAGCUCCUUCCGACCACCAGCUCCAAGAGGCAGAGGCGCCAGGGGCUUUGGAGGAAGAUUUGGAGAUCAACCGAGAAGAAUCUUUUGCUUAUUCUGCGGUGAGAACAAAGGCCAUACUACCAGGAUGUGCCAUGUUACUAUUCAGAAGCAAAAGGAAAUAGCUGAAGCCGCAGCACAACAAGCUCAGCCGAAGCAGGUCAUGCAUACAACUUCGUAUCAUUCGCCCUACAUCCCAGAAUAUGUGGGCAACCAUCCUGCAGUUUCUGUUGCUUCGGCAAGUCAGCCUCAAGCUUCCUGGCAACAGCCUCCGCCUCCACCUCCGUUGCAACAAGGCCAGCAACCAGAAGGGAGCCAGUAUGCUCCACACCAGAGGGACUUCAGAGAGCAGUCCGAAGCUCGUACAGUCAAUAGCACUGUGCCAGAGUCAAAGCACAUCUAUUGACGAAUAUCCUACCUUAAUAGCAAUCUUUUUCAUUCAGUUUUAUUUUCUGUAAUAAAGGACAUUGUUUAGGUUUCAUGUAAUUAGUUUCGUUGAUUCCUACAAGAAAAAUAUGUUUUCCUCACAGGCUUAAAUUGAUUGAAGUUCAAAGACUUGUGAUAAAAAAAAGGACCUUCGAACUAUCGAAAAUUCUUCGAAGCAACAAAAAGUCGUUCUAAGGAACGCAGAGUAAGUUUGCCGAAGUCACAAAAAGUCGUUCCAAAGGGAGCGCAGUGUAAGUUUUCUGCUCCAAAGUCGUUCCAAAGGGAAUGCAGAGCAUACAGCGAAAAGUCAACGCUGAUACCGCCUAAGUAAAAGGCGAAGCGCGAAAAGUCAACGCGAAUACCGCUGAAAGUAAAAGGCGAAGAAGCUCCUAAGGGAGGCUUACAGCGAAAAAUAAACGCUGAUUCCGCUGAAGUAAAAGGCGAAGAAGCUCCUAAGGGAGGCUUAUAAAAGAUGUGUUUUAUUGCAGGGAUGCGUAUGUAUCUUCGGAAUAAACGUCAUCUCACAUAACAUAACAUCAUCGCAUCAUUUCGCAUAGCAUAAGCAUCAUACAUCAUUUUGCACAUGGCACAAGAGGUGGACACAUUAUUAAUCUACAGAAGAACGCUUUGAAAAAAGGGAGAAAUCAAAGUCACAAAAAGAUACAUCAUUGAUCUUCGGAAGUGUAUCUUCGGAAGUGUAGCUUCGGAAAAUAUCUUCACGAAGCCUGGAUAUUAAUCAUCAGAACAUUGGAUAUUGUUGUGACAAAGAAAAAUUCUUCUUCACGAAGCAUGAAAAGAAGGGAAGGUGUUUUUUCGUCAAAGACUCAAAAGUGGUACGUGUAAAGUUUCAUGCAUCGUAAAGAAUUGACUAACAAAAAUAGGUAUAUUACAUUUGGGGUUACAAAAUGUUACAGUAUAUUACAUUUCAGAAAGUUUUCACAAAAAUACUUAAUCUUCUCUCAAAACGACUUCUGCAGCCUCGUUCAGGAGCCGAUUGACGACUUCGUCCAUAAUAUCUUCAGCCAUCUUUUUAAUUUCGUCGUCUCCUUUCGGCUGAGGGCCCGAAGACGCUUUAGCACGAUCUGAAGUAAGACAGCAUGCGGCUACAUUGCUAUUACAAAUCGCAAACAAAUCUUAAAGCCUAAGAUUACAACACGAUAAAAACUAUUAGUUAAUACCUAAUUGACCUUCGGCCUCUGCGCUCUUUUCAGCAGCCUCAGCCACUUCUCUAGCAUCGUGAAUGCCCUUUUCACUUCUUCGAAUAAUUUCUCCGGCCAUUUCUCAGCCACCAUUAUCCCAGAUAUCGGUAAAACAUUUUCCACCAAUUAUACUAGCUUCGGCCGAAGGAUCUCUUGCAUCUUCAAAGGGCAAAGCAGCUUCGGAUUGUGCUAAAAUUUUUACAUGUUCGCAGCCCUUCUUCUCUAAGAUGGUGGCAAUCCCUCUGGCACCAGAGAAGGCACAUAUAUCUCCUCGGCUAUUUAAAAUUUCUUCGAAGGCUUCAGCUUCGUGGUCGAUCCAUUCGAUGACACCUUCGGGAUUGCUUCUCGAAAAGUUUUCCUCACUUGAGAAUGCGCCGACCUUGGCGAAGCUAGCCUUUAGCUUCUUAACACAAUCUAUAGAUUUAUUAUAGCAUCUCUUUUUGGACGAACGAAGCUCUUCAACAGUCACUUCUAGGUGAUCUGCCCAUUGAUCGCUGAGUUCACGCUUUGUUUCUUCAAGUAUGCGUUCUUCCUUGGCUCUGGCCAGUUGUUUCCGAAGAUCUUCAAUUUCGCGCUUCUGAGCUUCAGCUUGACCUUUAAAAGCAGCUUCGUCUUCCUUUAUUUUAUUUAUCAAUGAGUAUAAUAUUUUAUCUUUUUCGAGACCUUCGUUCCUCAGUUCAAUUACUUCGGAACGAAGGUUGCUCAGGGCUAUAGUACACCCUUCGUCUUCAGCAUCUUUCUGUGCCCUGAGGGCAUUGCUAAGUAUCAGGCCCUGCAAAGAGAAAUAUGUGUGCGUCAAUAGGUUUAAACAAACGAAAAAUACAAGGAUUUCAUUUCUCGCACCUUUAAGCUAUUGUAAGCCAGGCUGUCGGCCAGAUCGUUCUUCGACAGCACCGAGAGCCCGUCUUCUAAAGUUGGGAAUCCGAAGCUCUUGCUCAUCUCCCGACAGACAGAAAUUUCCUUGCUAUCGGGGAGACAAUACAAGAAGUCUUCUUCUCCACUGCCAUUGAAUAUUAACGCCCCCUUUGGAUAUUUCAGUUUUUGGGCGUAGUGCUGGGCCUCUUGCUCUUCUUUUUCUGAUAGUUUUUUCCCCGAAGCAUGGCGAACAAUAUAAUCACGAACUUUGGGGGAUGCUUCGGGGGCAAUGGCACCGGUUUCUUCAACAAAAGUUGGCUUUGUUAUUUUUUCUGCCUCACUUUCCAAGGAUUUUAUCUUUGCAGGCUCUGAGGGCCCAGCUUCGGCUUUAGUCUCUUGCCCUGAAGCUUUAGAUCCAGAAAUUUCAGUUGUUUCAGGAAUGACAGCAGCCCUCUUCGGAGGUGUGCUUGAAGAUUUGAUCGUUUCCAGUACAUCUAGCACAUUAGCCAUUCUCUUUCUUUUCGGAGUCACUGCUGGCACUUUCACUAUCUCAAUGUUUGCUGCAGGACUCAAAACUUCUGAUGUUUUGGAUCCCUCAGUUGAUUCUUUUACCUUUUCCAUUUUUUCUGUGGACGGCGCUUCGGCUUUCUCUUUCGUUUCUGAUAACAAAAUUUUUGAUUGUUCCAAUUCUAUCUUUGUUGGCACUUCGGCCGUUUCUGCGACUUCUGGCAGCAAGGUUGGCUCGGUUGGUUUUUCAGCUUCGGUGGCCGAAGAAGUUUCUCCGGUAAACUCAGGCACCGAAGCUGGUUCAAUAUAGCGCGGCCGAUGCGUAAGGACCUUUAUCUUCUUUCUUUUCGGUUCUGGCUCGCUAGGAGCAGUUGCAGCUUCUUCUUUUGCAGAGGUUGUGUUUUUUCUCUUCUGCCUUCGAAUGGGAUAGCAAUAGUCAGGGUAGACAAACCCGAUUGCAUCAAAUACCCGAUUCAGCCUCUUCUUUUUUCGGCCUCCGAAGGCUGCUGACAUUGCAGUAUCUUCGGCCUUCGAAUAGGUCCCAAGCAGCUCAUCACUUAAAUUUUCAAUGCUUUUUAACCAGUCAUCAUCUGGUUCAACGAAUUUAUCUCCAAACUUAAAAGUGUACUUCAACCUGAUAAGUCCACCUUCGUCGGCCUCUUUUAUGGUUUCUUGUGGCAUUUCCCAUUUCUCCGCAAGUGGCCAUACCCUGAAGGCGAUAUGCUCUUGUACUAAGUCCCUCGUUCCAAUAAAAGAACAGAUAACACCGAAGGCCCUCUGGCAUUCUUCGGCAGCCUCACUCAUUUCAACCUUCGGCCUCCGAAGGCCGAAGCUUUGCCAAAUAGGGCGCAUAAUUAUACCUUUGAUAUCUUCUCGCGCUGUCAGAUCAUUCUUCACAUAAAACCAUUCUGUCAUCCAGUCGCCGGGCCAUCUCUUCCGAAAGGUCGGCACGGGACAGCUUGACCCGGACCGAGAAACGAAAUUGUAGCAGCCAAAAUUAUUGUGAUACUGUUCCUUACCCCAAGGUUUUGUUUCGUAUGAUAAUUCGUGUAUAUUGCAGAAACUUUUUGCAUCAGGCUUCAGACCUUGGCUUCUCACGGCCCACACGAAGAUAUUUAGCCUUAUAAUUGCCUCAGGGGUAAGUUGAUGGAGAUAGACUUCGAAUAUUUUCAGUACCUCCACAACGAAGCUGCUCAAGGGAAAUCGCAGUCCAGCUUUCAAAAAGCUUCGGUACACUACGACUUCAUUCUCUUCAGGGUGUGGGCAAGUUUUUUCCCCUUCGUCGGCCCUCACAAUGGACAAAUCCCGGAAAUACCUUCCUCUCAUGUUGACAAGAUGAUUCUCUUUGAUAGUUGAUUUACCAUAAACUGAAUGGCUUGGUCGCCAGGGACGAUCUUCGGAGUCCUCACCACCACUGUCCACAUCAUAGCUGUCACUGUCACCAGUAUCUUCAGACAAACCUUCCAGAAUCUCCUUGGUAAUUUUUUCUGUAUUGGUCUUUGACAUCGCUAUAAGAAACCCCAAGUUUUUCUCUUCGUCAAGGCUCAGCUUCAUCUCAGCAACAGUCUUCUUAUCUUCAGACAUCUUCGGAGACGCUAAAAAACUAUUUUCAAAGCCGAAGCUUCAAAACUAAAAGCUUAGCAAAUCGCAGUGCACAAGAGCUAAAAAUUGAGUGAGCGGGAGUAGUUGGCCAGAAAGCGUGUCAAAUGAGUUUGCGGUAUGGCCGUAUUUAUACGCCAAGAGCGUUGAAAAUUCAAAGACCCCGCUUGUCAGUGAAUGUUGCUAUUCUAGCAAAGGGAAGGUGUUUUUUCGGACCUUCGGCGUAAAGCCUUCGUCCAUGUCGCAAUCUAAAUUCGUUAUUUUAAAACAAAUUAAUAUUGCGAGGGGCUACUGUUGGGGACCUUCGGCAUCCGAAGGUCCUCAAAAACGGGAUUUAACAGUAUUUCUGGAAGUAUAAUGUGUGAGCAGGUACCUUCGGACUCAAGUCGGUAUCACGGCAGGAGAAGACCCGGAUAAUACGAAGGUCUUGAUACAACGCCGAAGAUGUUAGCAGGAAAGCUUCGGCAUGGUUGCAGAAAAUAAAACCGACUUAAAGAUGAAAAGGCUAUUCAGACCUCGAUAGAUUAUAUAGAAUUAUUAUCAAAUGUAAAGGGCAUGAAUGUAAUUUUGUAUGGGCUGUGUCCCGUGCCUAUAAAUAGGUGAACAGAACCCCCGUACUGUUCACGCUGACUUGGCAUUCGCUUUUUGCGUCACGCUUGUACUGUCAUCUCCUUCCGAUUGAAGGUACACUUGUAAUUCAACGAUAUUUCUAUUUAUGUCUGAUAAUAAUAUAUAAUUGUUCAUAUUGUCUUUUAUAUUCUUUACAUUUCAUUCUUCGUCAUUGCUUAAUGAAUUUAUGAAGGUACGUCCUUCAUAACCUUCGUCCGUAAACCAUUAUAUCCUAAGGGAAAUAAUGUUUCGGAGGGCGAAGGACUUUAACGAUUAACAUUUUCUAUGUUGCCUUGUUCUUAACUCAUAGCACUUGAGAACAAGUCCCCAACACUGUGCCUCAUACAUGCUCUUUGGUAGAACGUGAUCCUCCGGAAGCAGGCUACCAAUAACUGUCAACAAGCAAUCGAAUGCGUCUUGACUCAUGUUAUACUGCGACUUGAACGCUAUUACAUGCCCAAUGGCAUCCAGUUGAGAAACCUUUGUCUGGCUGUGAAGGGGCUUCUGUGCCACGUCAAACAUGUCGUAGAACGCCUUUGCAAUCGGCUCUAGCUCGUCCUCCAUACAUCCUCCGACGAACUAUGCCUCAUGAUAGUCGUUCAACAUAUCUGCUACCCCCGCAUCAGCAUCAUAAUCCUCGACGUGUUGUCUCUGAAAGGGAAAUAAGCUUACACCUUUUCCUAAAUGAUUUUGGUGGUUGAAUUGCCCAACACAAAUAAUUGGACUAACUAGUUUGCUCUAGGUUAUAAGUUCUAUAGGUGCCAAAGGUUCAACACAUACCAAUAAAAAGUCCAAGAAAGGGUUCAAAUAAAAAGAGCAAAAGACAACCGAAGGCUGCCCUGGUCUGGCGCACUGGACUGUCCGAUGUGCCACCGGACAGUGUCCGGUGCACCAGAGAGAUUCACUCCAAACUUGCCACCUUCGGGAAUUUGGGAAGCCACUCCGCUAUAAUUCACCGGACUGUCCGGUGUGCCAAGCGGAGCAACGGUCGCCAACGCAAUGGUCGAGUUCAACGGUCGGCUGACAACGCUACAGUGCGCGGACUACGCGCGUAGAAGUCAGAGAAGGCGCAGAUGGCGCACCGGACAGUGAAGAGGACCUGUCUGGUGCACCAUCGGACUGUCCGGUGGCCCACAUGUCAGAAACUCCAACGGUCGAACCCUAACGGUUGGGUGACGUGGCUGGCGCACCGGACAGUGUCCGGUGGCGCACCGGACUGUCCGGUGCGCCCAUCGACAGCAGAGUUCCCCAACGACCACUUUGGUGGUUGGGGCUAUAAAUACCCCCCAACCACCACACUUCGAUGCAUCCAAGUUUUCAGCCAUCAAACCUCAUACAAGAGCUCUAGACUUCAUUCCAAGACACAAACAAAGAGAUCAAAUCCUCUCCCAAGUCUGGAAUCACUCCAAACAAAUUAGUGACUAGAGAGAGAGAGACUUUUGUGUUCUUUUAAGCUCUUGUGCUUGGAUCGCUUUUCUUCUUCCUCCUUUCUUGUUCUCAACUCAAUUGUAAUCAAAGCAAGAGACACCAAGUUGUGGUGGUCCUUGUAGUGGACUAAGUGUCCCGUUUGAUUGAAGAGAAAAGCUCACUCGGUCUAGGUGACCGUUUGAGAGAGGGAAAGGGUUGAAAGAGACCCGAUCUUUGUGACCACCUCAACGGGGAGUAGGUUUGCAAGAACCGAACCUCGGUAAAACAAAUCACCGUGUUCAUCUGUUUUAUUUCUUUGUUGAUUUGUUUUCCCUUUCUUUCGGACUUGAUUAUAUUUCUAACGCUAACCCUUGCUUGUAGUUGUGCUUAAACUUUAUAAAUUUCAGAUUUGCCUAUUCACCCCCCUCUAGGCGACUUUCAAUUGGUAUCAGAGCCCGGUACUUCAUUAGAGCCUAACCACUCGAUGUCAUGUCGGGAGCUCACGCCAAGAAGGAGAUGGUGACCGGCGAGAAGCCCGCCACAAGCCACGGGAAGGCUCCAUCGGGAGAGUCCGGCAACAAAAGGGAGGAAUCACCUCCCCACGUCAAGUCGCACCGGAGUGGUGACCAGAAGAAGAAAAUGAAGAAAGUGUUCUACUGUGAGACCGAUUCUUCGUCGCCAUCCACCUCCACGUCCGACGCGCCGUCCGUCACUUCUAAGCGCCAUGAGCGCAAGAAGUUUAGUAAGAUCUCCUUACGCUAUCCUCGUAUUUCCAAAUGCACUCCUUUACUUUCCGUCCCACUAGGCAAACCACCGGUUUUUGACGGUGAACAUUAUUGUAUGUGGAGUGAUAAAAUGAGGCACCAUCUAACCUCACUCCACGCUAGUAUUUGGGACAUUGUUGAGUUUGGUGCGCAGGAACCAUCCGUGGGGGAUGAAGGCUAUGAUUCGGAUGAGGUAGCCCAAAUCCAGCACUUCAACUCCCAAGCCACCACUAUACUCCUCGCCUCUCUAAGUCGAGAGGAGUAUAAUAAGGUGCAAGGGUUGAAGAGCGCCAAAGAGAUUUGGGACGUACUAAAGACCACACACGAAGGAGACGAGGUGACCAAGAUCACCAAGAGCGAAACGAUCGAGGGGGAGCUCGGUCGCUUCAUGCUUCAUCAAGGGGAGGAGCCACAAGCAAUGUACAACCGGCUCUAGACCUUGGUGAACCAAGUGCGCAACCUCAGGAGCACCAAAUGGGAUGACCAUGAAAUGGUCAAGGUUAUUCUAAGAUCACUUAUAUUUCUUAAUCCUACACAAGUUCAAUUAAUUCGUGGUGAUCCUAGAUACAAGAUAAUGUCUCCCGAGGAGGUUAUAGGAAAAUUUGUGAGCUUUGAAUUGAUGAUCAAAGGCUCCAAGAAAAUCAUCGAGCAAGGCGCCUCCUCCACACCCGAAAUGCAACUCGUCGCAUUCAAGGCAACAGAGGAGAAGAAAGAAGAGUCUACUUCAAGUAGACUUCCCAUCGACGCCUCCAAGCUCGACAACGAGGAAAUGGCGCUCAUCAUCAGGAGCUUUCGCCAAAUCCUCAAGCAAAGGAGGGGGAAGGACUACAAGCCCCGCUCCAAGAAAGUUUGCUACAAGUGUGGUAAGCCCGGACAUUUCAUUGCUAAAUGUCCAUUAUCAAGUGAUAGUGACAGGGGCGAUGACAAGAAGGGGAGAAGGAAGGAGAAGAAGAAAUAUUACAAGAAGAAGGGCGGCGAUGCCCAUGUAUGCCACGAGUGGGACUCCGAUGAGAGCUCCACCGACUCCUCCUCCGACGAGAACGCCGCAAACAUCGCCAUCAACAAGGGUCUUCUCCUUCCCAACGUCGAUCACAAGUGCCUCAUGGCAAAGGACGACAAAAAGAAGAAGGUAAAAUCUAGAGCUUCCACUAAAUAUGCAACAUCUAGUGAUGAGGCUAGCUCUAGUGAUGAUGAGGAUGAUUUGAUCACCCUUUUUGCCAACUUAAACAUUCAACAAAAAGACAAAUUGAAUGAAUCGAUUAGUGUUAUUCAUGAGAAGGAUGAACUCUUGGAUAGCCAAGAGGACUUCCUUAUUAAAGAAAAUAAGAAGCAUGUUAAAGUUAAAAAUGCUUAUGCUCAGGAGAUAGAAAAAUGUGAAAAAUUAACUAGUGAUCUAAGCACUUGCCAUGACACUAUUUUCAACCUUAGAUUUGAAAAUGACAAAUUGAUUGCUAAGGUUGAGAAAUUAAAUGUUAGUGAUGAUUCUCUUGUCAACCUUAGAAAUGAUAAUGCUAAUUUGAUUGCUAAGGUUGACAAAUUGAAUGCAUCUCUCUCUAGCCUUAAAAUUGAGAAUGAAAAAUUAAUUGCUAAGGCUAAAGAUUUAAAUGUUUGCAAUGUUUCUAUUUCCAAUCUUAGAGAUGAGAACACUAUUUUACAUGCUAAGAUUGUUGAAUUAAAUACUUGCAAACCCUCAACAUCUACCGUUGAACAUGUUACUAUUUGCACUAGAUGUAGAGAUGUUAAUAUUGAUGCUAUUCAUGAUCACAUUGCUAUGAUUAAACAACAAAAUGAUCAUAUAGCAAAAUUAGAUGCUAAAAUUGCCGAGCAUGAAUUAGAGAAUGAAAAAUUUAAAUUUGCUCGUAAUAUGCUUUAUGGUGGGAGACGCCCUGGCAUUAAGGAUGGCAUUGGCUUCCAACAGGGAGGCGAUGUCAAACUCAAUGCCCCUAAGAAAUUGUCCAACUUUGUUAAGGGCAAGGCUCCCAUGGUUUAGGAUAACGAGGGUUACAUUUUAUACCCUGACGGUUAUCCCGAACAUAAAAUUAGGAGAAUUCACUCUAGGAAGUCUCACUCUGGCUCUCAUCAUGCUUUUAUGAAUAAGAGUGAGGCAUCUAGUUCUAGGAAAUCCACCCAUGCUAAAUUGCCUAAGAAGAAAACUCCUAUAGCAUCAAACGAACCUAAUUUUUCAUUUAAGACUUUUGAUGCUUCUUAUGUGCUCACUAACAAAUCAGGCAAAAUAGUUGCCAAAUAUGUUGGGGCUAAACACAAGGGAUCAAAGACUUGUGUUUGGGUACCCAAGGUGCUUGUUUCUAAUGUGAAAGGACCCAAGACCAUUUGGGUACCUAAGAACAAGGCCUAAACUUGUUUUGUAGGUUUAUGCAUGCGGGGGCUCAAGUUUGAUCAUCGAUAGCGGGUGCACAAACCACAUGACUGGGGAGAAAAUAAUGUUCUCCUCCUAUGAGAAAAAUCAUGAUCCCCAAAGAGCUAUCACAUUCGGGGAUGGAAAUCAAGGUUUGGUCAAAGGACUUGGUAAAAUUGCUAUAUCCCCUGACCAUUCUAUUUCCAAUGUUUUUCUUGUAGAUUCUUUAGAUUACAACUUGCUUUCUGUUUCUCAAUUAUGCAAAAUGGGUUACAACUGUCUUUUUACGGAUAUAGGUGUUACUGUCUUUAGAAGAAGUGAUGAUUCUGUAGCAUUUAAGGGAGUGUUAGAGGGUUAGCUAUACUUAGUUGAUUUUAAUAGAGCUGAACUCGACACUUGCUUAAUUGCUAAGACUAACAUGGGUUGGCUCUGGCAUCGCCGACUUGCCCACGUUUAAAUGAAGAAUCUCCACAAACUUCUAAAGGGAGAACACAUUUUGGGACUAACAAAUGUUCAUUUUGAGAAAGACAGGGUUUGUAGCGCAUGUCAAGCAGGGGAAGCAAGUUGGUGUUCAUCAUCCACACAAGAACAUAAUGACGACCGACAGACCGCUUGAGCUACUCCACAUGGACCUAUUCGGCCCGAUAGCUUAUAUAAGCAUCAACGGGAGUAAGUAUUGUCUUGUAAUUGUGGAUGAUUAUUCUCGCUUCACUUGGGUGUUAUUUUUGCAGGAAAAAUCUCAAACCCAAGAGACCUUAAAGGGAUUCUUGAGAUGGGCUCAAAAUGAGUUCGGCUUAAGGAUCAAAAAGAUAAGAAGCGACAACGGGACGGAGUUCAAGAACUCUCAAAUAGAAGGCUUCCUUGAGGAUGAGGGCAUCAAGCAUGAGUUCUCUUCUCCCUACACACCACAACAAAAUGGUGUAGUGGAGAGGAAGAAUAGAACUCUACUUGACAUGGCGAGGACCAUGCUUGAUGAGUACAAGACUUCGGACCGGUUUUGGGCGGAAGCAGUCAACACCGCUUGCUACGCCAUCAACCGUCUCUACCUUUGCCGAAUACUCAAGAAGACAUCGUAUGAACUACUCACCGGUAAAAAGCCCAAUGUUUCAUAUUUUAGAGUCUUUGGUAGCAAAUGCUUUAUUCUUGUUAAAAGAGGUAGAAAAUCUAAAUUUGCUCCUAAGGCUGUAGAAGGCUUUUUACUUGGUUAUGAUUCAAACACAAGGGCAUAUAGAGUCUUUAACAAGUCCUCUGGACUAGUUGAGGUUACUUGUGACAUUGUGUUUGAUGAGACUAACGGCUCUCAAGUAGAGCAAGUUGAUCUUGAUGAGCUAGAUGAUGAAGAGGCUCCAUGCGUCGCGCUAAGGAACAUGUCCAUUGGGGAUGUGUGUCCUAAGGAAUCCGAAGAGCCUCCACAAGCACAAGAUCAACCAUCUUCCUCCAUGCAAGCAUCUCCACCAACUCAAGAUGAGGAUCAAGCUCAAGAGGAUGAAAAUGAAGAUCAAGAAGAUGAGCCACCUCAAGAGGAGGGCAAUGAUCAAGGGGGAGAUGCCAAUGAUCAAGACAAGGAAGAUGACGACAGUCCAAGACCACCACACCCAAGAGUCCACCAAGCAAUACAAAGAGAUCACCCCGUGAACUCCAUCCUCGGCGAUAUUCAUAAGGGGGUAACCACUCGAUCUCGUGUUGCUCAUUUUUGUGAACAUUACACCUUUGUAUCUUCUAUUGAGCCAUAUAGGGUGGAAGACACAUUAAGGGAUUCAGAUUGGGUGUUGGCGAUGCAAGAGGAACUCAACAACUUCACGAGGAAUGAGGUAUGACAUUUAGUUCCACGCCCUAAUCAAAAUGUUGUAGGAACCAAGUGGGUCUUCCGCAACAAGCAAGAUGAGCAUGGUGUGGUGACAAGGAACAAAGCCCGACUUGUGGCCAAGGGAUAAUCACAAGUCGAAGGUUUGGAUUUCGGUGAAACCUAUGCACCCGUAGCUAGGCUUGAGUCAAUUUGUAUAUUACUUGCCUAUGCUACUUACCAUGGCUUCAAGCUUUAUCAAAUGGACGUGAAAAGUGCCUUCCUCAAUGGACCAAUCAAGGAAGAAGUCUAUGUUGAGCAACCUCCCGACUUUGAAGAUAGUGAGUACCCUAACCAUGUGUAUAAACUCUCUAAGGCGCUUUAUGGGCUCAAGCAAGCCCCAAGAUCAUGGUAUGAAUGCCUAAGAGAUUUUCUUAUCGCUAAUGGCUUCAAAGUCGGAAAAGCCGAUCCUACUCUCUUUACUAAAACAAUUGCAAAUGAUUUGUUUGUAUGCCAAAUUUAUGUUGAUGAUAUUAUAUUUGGGUCUACUAACAAAUCUACAUUUGAAGAGUUUAGUAGAUAAUGGUACAAAAAUUCGAGAUGUCUAUGAUGGGGGAGUUGAAGUAUUUCUUAGGAUUUCAAGUGAAGCAACUCCAAGAGGGCAUCUUCAUCAGUCAAACGAAGUACAUUCAAGACAUACUCACCAAGUUUGGGAUGAAGGAUGCCAAGCCUAUCAAGACACCCAUGGGAACCAAUGGGCAUCUUGACCUCGACACGAGAGGUAAAUCCAUAGAUCAAAAGGUAUACCGGUCGAUGAUAGGAUCUUUACUCUAUUUAUGUGCAUCUCGACCGGAUAUUAUGCUUUUCAUAUGCAUGUGUGCAAGAUUCCAAGCCGAUCCUAAGGAAGUUCACCUUAGGGUCGUGAAAUGAAUCUUGAGAUAUUUAGUUCAUACUCCUAAGUUUGGCCUUUGGUACCCCAGGGGAUCCACAUUUGAUUUAAUAGGAUAUUUAGAUGCUGAUUGGGCAGGGUGUAAAAUUGAUAGAAAGAGCACAUCAGGGACUUGUUAGUUCUUGGGAAGAUCCCUGGUGUCAUAGGCUUCAAAGAAGCAAAAUUUUGUAUCUCUUUCUACCACCGAAGCCGAGUACAUUACCGCAGGCCAUUGUUGCGCGCAAUUGCUUUGGAUGAGGCAAACCCUUAGGGACUAUGGUUACAAAUUAACCAAAGUUCCGCUCCUAUGUGAUAAUGAGAGUGCAAUCCACAUGGUGGAUAAUCCCGUUGAGCACAACCGCACUAAGCACAUAGCCAUUCGGUAUCACUUUUUGAGGGAUCACCAACAAAAGGGGGAUAUCGAGAUUGUUUAUAUUAACACCAAAGAACAAUUAGCCGAUAUCUUUACCAAUGUUGGGGACUUGUUCUCAAAUGCUAUGAGUUAAGAACAAGGCAACACAAGAAAUGUUAAACGUUAAUGCCCUUCGUCCUUCGAGACAUUAUUUCCCUUAGGAUAUAAUGAUCUUCAGACGAAGGUCAUGAAGGACAUACCUUCAUCAUUGCAAUAUACGAUAAUAAAAGGAGAAUCAUAUAGAAUGUAAGAGACAACAUGAAUAAGUAUGUAAUAUUAUCAGCACAUUUCUAUUUUAUUAUCAUGGACAAAUAGAAAUGAUAUCAAAUUACAAAUGUACCUUCAGCUUGAUGGAAGGUAAAAGUACAAGUGUGACGCACGAUCAAAUACAAGUCAGCGUGAACAGUACGGGAGCACUGUUCAUCUAUUUAUAGGCACGGGACACAGCCCAUGUAAAAUUACACCCAUGCCUUUUACAUUUGCUAAUGACUCUAUAGUGAUCCAUCGAGGUCUAAAUGACCUUUUCCCUUUUAAGUCGGUUCCCUUUUCCGCUGUUAUGCCAAAGCUCCCUUGCGCGUAGCUUCGGCGCUACGUCAACCUUCGUAUUCUUUGUGCUUCUCACACUGUGGUUCUGAUCCGAGUCCGAAGGUACCUGUUCAUGUAUCAUACUCCAGAAAUAAUGUUAAAUCAUGUUUUUGAAGACCUUCGGAAGACGAAGGCCCCCAACAGUAGCCCCUCGCAAUAUUAAUUUGUUAGAAUAACGAAUUCAAAUUGCGAUAUGGACGAAGGCCUUAAGCCAAAAUUCUGAAAAAACACCUUCCCUUUGCUAGAAUAGCAACAGUCGAUGACAGACGGGGCCCUCCAAUUUGGAACGCACUGGGCGUAUAAAUAGGAACUCACCCCGAGCACAUUUGGUACGCUAUCUGCCGCCUGCUUUGCUUGCUCAAUUUUUUAGCUCUUGCCUACCAACGCUUGCUUGGUUUUUUAGACUUUCUAAGCUUCGGCUUUAAGGACACAUUUUCGCCAUUUCCGAAGAGAAGAUGUCUCAAGACAAAAAAGUUGUUGCUGAGACGAAGCUGAGCGAAGAGGAGAAGCUCCAUGAGGAGAAGACUGCUGGAUUUGUUGAAUCAAUAGCAAAGAAAAAUACAGAAAAGAUUACUAAGGAGAUUCUAGAAGGCUUAUCUGAAGAUACUGAUGACAGCGACAGUUAUGAUGCGGAAAGCGGAGGCGAAGACUCCGAAGAUCGGCCCUGGCGACCAAGCAUGCAGUCUUCGGGAAAUCAACCAUCAAACAGAGUCAUCUUGAUAAUAUGAGAGGAAGGUAUUUUCGAUAUUAUUUUUUUGUUCUUAUAUUAACCCAUUCAUUCUUUUCAUAUAGGGUUUAAUACUUAGCAACGCCUUAAGGGCGCAAAAGAAUGUCGAAGACGAGAGUUGCACUAUUGCUCUCAACAACCUUCAAACAGAGGUUAUCAAGCUGAGGAACGAAGCUUUGGAAAAAGAAAAAAUUCUACUUACAUUGGUGGACAAAGUAAAGGGGGAUGAAGCUAACUUCAAGGCUCAAUCUGAAAUCCAAAGGAAUGAGAUUGAAAACCUUCAAAAACAACUGGCCGAAGCCAAAUUGAAAUGCGCUAUUGCCGAAGCUGACCGAGUUGCCAGUGAGUACUAGAAAAAUUAUCUUGAAAAACAGUUGCAGAGCUUCGCUCAUCAAAAGAAAGAUGUUUUGAAAAAUCUGUGGAAUGCGUGAAAAAGAUAAAAACUAGCUUUGCCAACGUUGGCGCAUAUUCAAGCGAAGAUAACUUCAUACGGGGCGACCCCGAAGGCGUAAUCGAGUGGAUCAGCGGUGAGGCCGAAGCCUUUGAAGAGAUUUUGAGUGACCGCGGGGACGUCUGUGCCUUCUCUGGUGCGAGAGGAAUUGCAGCUAUUUUGGAGAAAGCAGGGUGCGAACAUGUUAAAACUUUGGCCCAGGCCGAAGCUGCCUUCUCCACCGAUGAUAUAAAGGACCCCUCGGCCGAAGCAAACUCAAUAGGUGGAAAAAAUUUCACUGAUAUCUGGGAAAACGGUGGCCGAGGGAUGGCCCAUGAAAUUAUAAAGAAAAACGAAAAAGAUAUUCACGACACUCGAGAGUCAAUAAAAGAAGCUGAAAAGGCUGCGGAGCUUGAGAGACGAAUAUGUAUUACUUAAUGGUUUUUAACUUUGUUGUUUAUUUUUGUGACUUUGAACUGAUUUAUGUUUUCUACCUUAGCUGAACUAUCUCCUCCCCCAGCGCCCUUAGAGUCAUUGGCCGACCCAGAGGCAAAGGAAUCAACAGAACUUAUUAACAUGGCCGAAACUAUUGUAGACGAAGUCGUUACCCAACUGCUGACCGAAUUUGCACAUAAAGUUUUGAAGGAAGAAGAGUAGCUAUUGUAAAAACAUUGCUAGAAUAUUAAUGUAACAUUUGCCGGACUAUGCUUGUAAUAUUUGGUGCUCCUAGGUUUUGAAUGUAAUAUAUGAAUGGUUUUGUAAUUCAUUUCUUUGCGAUGCAUGAAACUUUUAUGUACAUACCGUUUUUGAGCCUUCGGCGAAAAAACACCUUCCCUUCUUUUCAUGUUCGUAAAGAAGAGCUUUUAUGCUUCGUAAAAAAUCCUCCAAUCGUCGCAAAAACAUUAAUGCUUCGUCAACAACAGAUUUUUCCUCCACAUCAGAGCUGAUGAAGCUGUAUUUCUUCAAAACUUAUUUUGUGCCUUAGCACAAUUUCACUUUUUUCGAAGCAUUCUUCGAAGGUCAACAUUGUAUCCCCUUCUUGUGCCAUUGAUGCAAUAUGAUGUAUGAUGUUAUGUUAUGUGAAAUGAUGUGAUGAUGUUAUGUUAUGCAAAAUGAUGUUUAUGCCGAAGACACACACUCACACCCCCAUAGUGGAAUACACAAUCUCUUUGCCGCUUAUUUUUCGGCUUCACCGCUUAUUUUUCGGUGUAUCAGCGCUGACUUUUCACUGUAAGUUCUGCAUUCCCUUAGGAACGUCUUUUGAACUUCUUCACCUUCUAUUUCGGCGGUAUUCGCGUUGACUUUUCGCGCUUCGCCUUAUAUUUCGGCGGUAUUUGGCUCUGCAUUCCCUUUGGAAUGACUUUUGAGCAGAAAACUUACACUGCGCUCCCUUAGGAACGACUUUUUGUAGCUUCGGCAAACUUACGCUGCGUUCCUUAGAACGACUUUUUUGUGGCUUCGGUGAUACUUGUAAUGUGAUUUUUAGCCCCGCGUUCCCUUAGGAACGACUUUUGUGCUUCAGUGACUUUUUGAACUUCGUGAGUCUGUGGAGAAGAUAUAUUUCACUAUGGCAAGAACGAAGUUAUUACAAGAAAUCAAGAGAGCUAGGUUUUCAAUAAUUGUUCCUUAUUAAAAAGGAAGUGAUAAUGAAUGUAAAAACUGCUUCAGGGGUAGGAUAUCUCUCAAUAGAUAUGCUUCGAUUCUAGCACAGUACUGUUGGCUGUGCGAGCUUCGGACUCCUCCCUGAAAUCUCGUUGCUGAUGGGUCUGUUGGCUCCCUUCUGGCUGCUGGCCUCGUGAAUAUGCAGGUUGUAGUGGUGGCAGAGGUGGAGGCUGUGGCCAAGAUGCAUGUGGCUGGCUAGCCGAAGCAACAGAAGCUGCAGGAUGGUUACCCACAUACUCUGGUAUGUAGGGUGAGUGAUACGAAGCAGUGUGCAUGACCUGCUUCGGCUGGUUCUGCUGAGCUGCGGCUUCUGCUAAUUCCUUUUGUUUCUGAAUGGUGACAUGGCACAUCCUUGUAGUAUGGCCCUUGUCCUCACCACAGAAUAAGCAAUUUUCCUAGGUUGAUCCCCAAACCUUCCUCCGAAGCCCCUGGCACCUCUGCCUCUUGGAGUUGGCGGCCGAAAAUAGGUUUGUUGCUGCCCCGAAACUUGCGAGGAAUAUUGUGGCUUCUGUUGCUGACUUCCUCUGUCGUCAUUCUGGGUGGAGUGGAUUGAUCUGACAUGCCUUGGGUGGAUUCUUCCUCCGAAGCCCCUGGUCAUCUCAGAGAACCUGUAGGCUUCCUCCCUUCUUUGGCGAAAGUCAUUGUCAGCCCGGAUGUAUUCAUCCAUCUUUUGAAGCAGCUUCUCCAAAGUCUGUGGAGGCUUUCUAGCAAAAUACUGGGCAGUAGGUCCUGGAUGAAGCCCCUUGAUCAUGGCCUCAAUGACAAUUUCAUUGGGCACAGUAGGCACUUGUGCUCUCAGACGCAAGAACCUUCAGACGUAUGCCUGGAGAUACUCCUCAUGAUCUUGCGUGCAUUGAAACAGAGCCUGAGCUGUGACUGGCUUCGUCUGAAAGCCCUGGAAACUUGUCACCAGCAUGUCCUUGAGCUUCUGCCAUGAAGUGAUGGUCCCUGGCCGAAGAGAAGAAUACCACGUUUGAGCCACAUUCUUAACUGCCAUGACGAAGGACUUGGCCAUGACAGCUGCAUUGCCUCCGUAUGAAGAUAUAGUUGCUUCAUAACUCAUCAAAAACUGCUUCGGGUCUGAAUGCCCAUCAUACAUUGGAAGCUGAGGUGGCUUGUAUGAUGGGGGCCACGGGAUAGCCUGCAGUUCUGCUGCCAAGGGAGAAGCAUCAUCAAAAGUAAAGGUAUCAUGAUUAAAAUCAUCAUACCAUCCAUCGUCGUUGAACAAGCCCUCUUGAUGAAGCUCCCUGUGUUGGGGCCUUCGAUCUUGCUCGUCUUGAGCAAGGUGGCGUACUUCUUCAGUGGCUUCGUCAAUCUGCCUUUGAAGGUCAGCUUGUCGGGCCAUCUUCUCCUUCUUCUUUUGCACUUGCUGAUGAAGCAUCUCCAUGUUUCUGAUUUCUUGGUCCAACUCGUCCACCUGGGGUGUUGGACUAGUGGCCUUCCUCUUCUGGCUUCGGGCCUCUCGAAGAGAAAGGGUCUCCUGAUUUGGGUCCAGUGGCUGCAGAGCGGCAGCCCCUAGCGCUGAAACUUUCUUCGGUGGCAUGACGAAGGUCAAUGCUUGCCGAAGGUGGUCGAAAAGAGUUCACCCCACGGUGGGCGCCAAUGUUGGGGACUUGUUCUCAAAUGCUAUGAGUUAGGAACAAGGCAACAUAAGAAAUGUUAAACGUUAAUGCCCUUCGUCCUUCGAGACAUUAUUUCCCUUAGGAUAUAAUGAUCUUCAGACGAAGGUCAUGAAGGACAUACCUUCAUCAUUGCAAUAUACGAUAAUAAAAGGAGAAUCAUAUAGAAUGUAAGAGACAACAUGAAUAAGUAUGUAAUAUUAUCAGCACAUUUCUAUUUUAUUAUCAUGGACAAAUAGAAAUGAUAUCAAAUUACAAAUGUACCUUCAGCUUGAUGGAAGGUAAAAGUACAAGUGUGACACACGAUCAAAUACAAGUCAGCGUGAACAGUACGGGAGCACUGUUCAUCUAUUUAUAGGCACGGGACACAGCCCAUGUAAAAUUACACCCAUGCCCUUUACAUUUGCUAAUGACUCUAUAGUGAUCCAUCGAGGUCUAAAUGGCCUUUUCCCUUUUAAGUCAGUUCCCUUUUCCGCUGUUAUGCCGAAGCUCCCUUGUGCGUAGCUUCAGCGCUACGUCAACCUUCGUAUUCUUUGUGCUUCUCACACUGUGGUUCUGAUCCGAGUCCGAAGGUACCUGUUCAUGUAUCAUACUCCAGAAACAUUGUUAAAUCAUGUUUUUGAGGACCUUCGGAAGACGAAGGCCCCCGACAACCAAGCCACUAGAUGAGAAAACUUUUACCAAUCUUAGGCAUGAGCUAAACAUUCUAGAUUCUAGGAAUUUUGAUUGAUAUUUUGCACACAUAGCUUAUUUCAAUACCUUUGAUCAUAUCUCUUUCAUGUGCUAUGACUAAUGUGGUUUUCAAGUAUAUUUCAUGCUAAGUCAUAGAUUGAAAGGAAAAUGGAGUCUUCGGCGAAGAAAAGGCUUCCACUCCAUCGAAUUAUUCAUCCUUCGCCGACACUCCACAUCGCUCUCCAAUUUGGUAUAAUCUUCACUCCUACAUUAUUUACCAAAGGGGGAGAAAGUUUGAAAAAGGGCUUAUAUUUUCACUCACAAGUAUCCGUUUUUGGCGAUUCAUGCCAAAGGGGGAGAAAGUAUUAGCCCAAAGCAAAAGGACCGCACCACCACCAAUUUCAAAAAUGAAGUCUUUUAAAUUUGUACUAAAAGAAGGUUUUUCAAUUGGUAUCUUAUUUUUGAUAGAAUUUUCAAAUUGGUAUAACCCAUUUCAAAAUUAAUAUCUAAAACUCUCUUGAACAAUAAGAGGAGAAUUUCAUUAAGGGGGAGUUUUGUUUAGUCAAAGGAAAAGCAUUUGAAACAGGGGGAGAAAAUUUCAAAUCUUAAAAAUGCUUCUCAAAAUCUUACUCAUUUACCUUUGACUACUUGCAAAAAGACUUUGAAAAGAAUUUCCAAAAGAGUUUGCAAAAACAAAACAAGUGCUGCAAGCGUGGUCCAAAAUGUUAAAAUAGAAGAAAGCAUCCAUGCAUAUCUUAUAAAAUGUAUAUUGGUUUAAUUCCAAGUAACCUUUGCACUUUCAUUAUGCAAACUAGUUCAAUUCUGCAAUUAUAUAUUUGCUUUGGUUUGUGUUGGCAUCAAUCAUCAAAAAGGGGGAGAUUGAAAGGGAAAUAGGCUUACACCUUUUCCUAAAUGGUUUUGGUGGUUGAAUUGCCCAACGCAAAUAAUUGGACUAACUAGUUUGCUCUAGAUUAUAAGUUCUACAUGUGCCAGAGGUUCAACACAAACCAAUAAAAAGUCCAAGAAAGGGUUCAAAUAAAAAGAGCAAAAGACAACCGAAUGCUGCCCUGGUCUGGCGCACCGGACAGUGUCCGGUGCACCAGGGAGAUUCACUCCAAACUUGCCACCUUUGGGAAUUUGGGAAGCCACUCCGCUAUAAUUCACCGGACUGUCCGGUGUAGCACCGGACUGUCCAGUGUGCCAAGCGGAGCAACGGUCGUUAGCGCAACGGUCGAGUUGAACGGUCGGCUCACAACGCUACAGUGCGCGUACUGCGCGCGCAGAAGUUAGAGCAGGUGCAGAUGGCGCAUCGGACAGUGAACAGGACCUGUCCGGUGCACCACCGGACUAUCCGGUGGCCCACAUGUCAGAAGCUCCAACGGUCGAACCCUAACGGUUGGGUGACGUGGCUGGCGCACCGGACAGUGGCCGGUGGCGCACCGGACUGUCCGGUGCGCCCAUCGACAGUAGAGUUCCCCAACGGCCACUUUGGUGGUUGGGGCUAUAAAUACCCCCCAACCACCACACUUCAAUGCAUCCAAGUUUUCAGCCAUCAAACCUCAUACAAGAGCUCUAUACUUCAUUCCAAGACACAAACAAAGAGAUCAAAUCCUCUCCCAAGUCCGGAAUCACUUCAAACAAAUUAGUGACUAGAGAGAGAGACUUUUGUGUUCUUUUGAGCUCUUGCGCUUGGAUCGCUUUUCUUCUUCCUCCUUUCUUGUUCUCAACUCAAUUGUAAUCAAAGCAAGAGACACCAAGUUGUGGUGGUCCUUGUAGUGGACUAAGUGUCCUGUUUGAUUGAAGAGAAAAGCUCACUCAGUCUAGGUGACCGUUUGAGAGAGGGAAAGGGUUGAAAGAGACCCGGUCUUUGUGACCACCUCAACGGGGAGUAGGUUUGCAAGAACCGAACCUCGGUAAAACAAAUCAUCGUGUUCAUUCGUUUUAUUUCUUUGUUGAUUUGUUUUCCCUCUCUUUCGGACUCGAUUAUAUUUUUAACGCUAACCCCGACUUGUUGUUGUGCUUAAACUUUAUAAAUUUCAGAUUUGCCUAUUCACCCCCCCUUUAGGUGACUUUUAGUCUCAACACCUCCUCUCUCGUACGAUGCGCUUUACCAUGGAAGAUCCACCGAGUAUAGUCUGGCGUAAAUCUGAUCUUCCAAAUAUGUUCUACCAUGGCCUUCUUUGAUUUUCUUUUCCGGUUGGCACAUUUGCUGCACGGGCAUGGGACUAGACUCGCUCCUUUAGCAGCUUUGCCAUAUGCCCGUUCCACAAAAGCAUCGGUCUUUCUAAUCCAUUCAGGGGUGACAUCAUUCCUACUUACACGGCAUGUGUACAUCCACUCACGGUCUUCCAUCCUCUAACAUAUGUAACCGAGUAUAGUUUAAUAUAAACAUGUAAUGCAUGUACGCUAUGUUCCUACCUUAUAAUAGGUGAGUAUAGUUCUUAAUCUCACUCGCGGUUGCGUAGACGAAGUUAGUUUCCAUGCUCUACUUCGAUCCAAGACAGAGUUCCGGCAGCACCUCCCCGUUGUUCUCCGGAUACACGCCCUAGCAGGUAGAAUGUACUGUCCGGAGAUCAACAUGGAGGUGAAACCGAAACUCUGUCUCGGACCGGAGUAGAGCAUGGAAACUAAUACCAGGGCGACGGUGGAGUAGGGAUAGCGGGGCUGUGGCGGGUCGGUGCAGUGGCGACGUGUCGCAGUGCAGGUUCUAGUGUGGCGGCAAGGAAUACCUCUGCAAAAAAAAAUUAACACAAGUUUAUCAACAAAAAAAUCGGCAGGACUUCCCCUGCACGAGGAGGUUGCAAAAAACCAGCAAAUAAAACUAACAGCACGAUGGCUGACAUCCACACAUAUACUAGCAAAAAAUAGACUUGCGUGUGUUAUUUACAAUUGUGUUAGUUACACACAAUCUAUUGAUGCCAUAUUUGUUGUGUACUAGCGAUUGGCAAGAAGAAUCAACUUUUAGGCACUAAAACAUCUAGUGGGUUCAAAUUAAAGAACUUCUUCUAUUAAUUACAGAACCACCCCAUCGGCCGACCAGGAUCCAAAUUAAAGAACUUCUUCUUCUAUUAAUUAUAGUAUAUUAUAAUUACCAAGUCUCUUCUUAUAUUUACAUGUUCAUUUGCUUGCUUCUUGCAUAACAUAACGGCGAUCGAUGAUGACCAUCGUUAGUUUUAGUCCUACGUGUAUUUGAUUCAAUCCCUCCAUGUUCAUAGUAUAAAUUCAACCAAACCUAAAUAAGUUUCAGUCAGCUUGAUCUUAAAAUUGCAUCAUACACACACAUACAUAGUCUUACUAGAAGUAAGCAAUUUCUUUUAAACUAAUUUCCAGCCAACAUUGAUGAAUGAACUAGAAUGUGGCUAUAACCGAGACCUGUGUGGGUGGUGCUGGAGAUGGGGACGUUGGGCCGAGGCUCACCGGCGUCGAGGCCUGUCCGAAGAUGGCCGACCGCCAGGCCGGGGACGGGGCUCGUUGGAGAUGGCCGGGUCGAGCGACGGUGGGGACGUCGGAGGCAGGGAGGAUGGCCGGCACGGUGUCCGGAGCCGGAGGGGAUGACCGGAGAGGAGGAUGGUCGGCGCUUGCUCCGAUGGCGUUGGCGGCGAGUGGCGUUGGCGGAGGGGACGACUGGUUAGGGCUAUGUACACAGACUUUGCCGAGUGCCAUAUCACGGGCACUCGGCAAAGAUUUUUUUUAAAUUUAAAAAUAAACUUUGCCGAGUGUCACAGAUCACUGACAGGCACUUGGCAAAGAUUGUUUUAAUUUUUUUAAAAAAACUUUACAGAGUGUCCCACGGCAGGCACUCGACAAAGAAUGCUUUACUGACUGCCUUAUUUUGACACUCGACAAAGAAUUCUUUGCCAAGUGCCCGAUAAAAAGCACUUGGCAAAGCACCGAGCACUCGGCAAAGAGCCGGAUUCCGGUGUGGUUGUUUCAUGGAAGUUGUAAGUAGACCAUCUUAACAAGGUCAACAAUAGAAGUACAACUCACAACAUUAGAUACUGCCAAAGUUAAUGUUGAGAGGCUUCGUGAACUCCUUAUGGAUUUACUAGUAGUUGAAAAACCAAUACUGGUUAUCUAUAUGAGCUAUAAUAAUUAAACAUUGGUAAUCAAAGUGAACAAUUCUUAGGUUAACAUGAAGACUACAAAGCAUGUCAAGAACGGUUGAAACUGUUAAAACACUAAGAAACUCUAGAUUAAUUGUGUUGGACUAUGUCCAUACUUCUAAGAAUUUGGUAUGCCAGUUUAUAGAAGAUUUGUCACAUAAUGUGAUAGAUGGUGCAUCGAGAAAGAUGGACUUGAGACCCACUUAAUGCCAUUCCAUAGUAGUAGCAUUUUCUAUGUGAUUGGAGAUCUCAUGAAGUAAAAUGGUGAAAUAAGCUAGAGAAUGACUGAUGGAGAGACUCCUUAAAUAAAAUCUAGGUAAUUUCAUAUGAACAUUUCUCCUUCGAUGUACGAUAGGCUAACUAAAAUCUUAAUAUGAUUUGAGUGACAUAUCUAAGCAGGGAUGUUAUCUUAUAGAACAUCCUAUAAGGAACACACCUAUAUGACUUUGACUACUAAUCACAGUCUAUGAUAUGUGGGAAAUAUUUUUUUACUCAUGAAAGGCCUCGAAGUUUGACUUAUAUGCUUCAAACCAAUGGAUAACUGAUUGAAUCUGUUUCAGACAGCAGCAUAGUUAACUUCAAAAUUCUAUAUCUCCCAAACUUCUCAACCAAAAAUUAUUAAAUUAUGCUGACAGUAAGAACUUUUAUCCCUCUACAAAAGUCUCCAUAGUUGGAAGAGCCAAUUCGGCCAUUUACUAGAUGAAACCUACCAGUUAACAGACCCGCUCAUUUUUGUCAGGCAAACAAGAACCCUUAUAUAUCAAAGAGUAGUGGAUUUGAAUUUGUCUAAUAUGAAGUUUAUGGGCUUGGAUCAUUUAAAGUAUUUUAUAAUUCUGAAAGACAAGAUUAAACUAACUAUGUAUGAUCCUUUAGCACCGUACAGAUGGUCGAUGGGACAGUUACAUGGUUUAUAUAGAUGGACCUAUCUAUAUUCCUUCAGUGGUUGAGAACAAGGUAAAGGUGUGUCACACUCACGCGUGCGCCGCCUCCGCCGAGACGAGGCAUGGCGUUGCAGGGUGAGGCAUGGCAUGGUGCAGCACGAUCGCAGUCAUGGUCGUGGCACAGUGUAGCACUGUUGUGGAUAGAUAGAUAAACUAUUGUUGUAGUUAGAGUGCAUGAGUUUUUGAAUGCAACACUAGAAUUUUCACAAUUUAACUUAAUUAAGAAGUUAUAUCUUGAUGACACAGAGUUACCUGACCAUUGAUCUCACAUGCCCUUUUAGCUCUCUCGUACUCUAGACUUACCCUGACUAUUUAGGUCUCCUGACUCGCCAAUAUAAACACCAUCCUAUCAUUUGCUGUCGAAUACUUCUGUGUCACAACUCAACUGUCAGAUGAGUACUCCAUUACAGCACUGAGCAGGCCUCCGAAAUGAAUAUCUACUCAGAUGAAGGACGACAAUCGUGUUCUAGGGAAAUAUCAGCGACACAACUCCUUACUUCCUCCGCUUCUUCCUAGUGUUUUUUGUUGUGAUUGAGUCGACAUAGCAACAACACUGCACUAUUACAACCAGUACGACUAUAUCAACUAGCAAUGUCUUCCUUAUAUGUUACUAUUUAUUUUGCUCAUAUUCAUUAUGUUUAAAUCACAUAGGCGCCUUUAUGUUGGCAUCAAAAAAUCAGUAUCAACUUUAUAGAUUAAAAUGAAACUAAAAGUACCUAAAUUUCUAUCGGUGGGGAUCGAGUGAUUCUUUAAACCGAUUAUUACACAAGUUAACCACACUAAAAUUAACAAUGGUGAAUCGUGCCAUGAUUUUUUUCUAGUGGAAAAUAGCCAAACCAAGCAACACAUAUGUGGCUAUCGUUACACAUGUGUAAAGGUAUUGCAUCACACCAUUGUCACCCAUGUAUGUGGACAAUACCGAGAGGAAAAACCACUUAUUUAUUGUAUUUUAUCAAGUUUGUCUUGCUUACGUAUAAAUUAUAACCCAACAAAGUAAUCACUAAAUGUCAAAACCAACUAGAUACCAUGUCAUCUCUACCUUAUCUUACUAAUAUUCUUUUUGCAAAAUCCAAAAUUAAUCUUGCACAAGCACAAGGACUGAGAUGUGUAUAAAUAUCUCUUAAAUUAGUAGCUAAUAUAUCGCACAUAUUAUUGAGACCAACUAGCAACAUAGAAAGCACAAUAGUGUACCAACAAUGGCAGCCAAAAUAUUUUGCCUCCUUAUGCUCCUUGGUCUUUCUGCAAGUGCUGCUACGGCGACCAUUUUCCCGCAAUGCUCGCAAGCUCCUAUAGCUUCCCUUCUUCCCCCGUACCUCUCACCAGCGGUGUCUUCGGUAUGUGAAAACCCAAUUCUUCAACCCUACAGGAUCCAACAGGCAAUCGCAGCUGGCAUCUUACCUUUAUCACCCUUGUUCCUCCAACAAUCAUCAGCCCUAUUACAACAGUUACCUUUGGUGCAUUUAUUGGCACAAAACAUCAGGGCACAACAACUACAACAACUUGUGCUAGCAAACCUUGCUGCCUACUCUCAGCAACAGCAGUUUCUUCCAUUCAACCAACUAGGUUCAUUGAACUCUGCUUCUUAUUUGCAACAACAACAACUACCAUUCAGCCAGCUACCUGCUGCCUACCCCCAGCAAUUUCUUCCAUUCAACCAACUAGCAGCAUUGAACUCUCCUGCUUAUUUACAGCAGCAACAACUACUACCAUUCAGCCAGCUAGCUGGUGUGAGCCCUGCUACCUUCUUGACACAACCACAGUUGUUGCCGUUCUACCAGCACGUUGCGCCUAACGCUGGCACCCUCUUACAACUGCAACAAUUGCUGCCAUUCAACCAACUUGCUUUGACAAACCCAGCAGUGUUCUACCAACAACCCAUCAUUGGUGGUGCCCUCUUUUAGAUUUCUUAUGAGUUAUAGUUCAAUAAUAAAGUUUUUUAUCUGAUGUUUGUGGCUUCCCAGAAAUAAGAAAGUACAUUUCUAGAUUCUUAUGUGCUUCUAGUCUUCAAAUGUGGUUGAUAGUUAUUGUUGGGGACUUGUUCUCAAAUGCUAAGAGUUAAGAACAAGGCAACAUAAAAAUGUUAAAUGCUAAAGUCCUUCGUCCUUCGAAGCAUUAUUUCCCUUAGGAUAUAAUGAAUUUCGGACGAAGGCUAUGAAGGACAUACCUUCAUAAGCACAACGAAUGAUGAAGAAGAAUUCAUAUAAAUUAUGAGAUAUAACAUAAACAUUUAAACAUUAUUAUUAACUCAUUUCUAUUGACUUGUCAGGGAAAAAUAGAAAUGAUAAUAAAUUACAAAUAUACCUUCGGCUUGAGAGAAGGUAAAGGUACAAGCGUGAGGCAAAAGCAAAUGCCAAGUCAGCGUGAACAGUACGGGAACACUGUUCAUCUAUUUAUAGGCACGGGACGCAGCCCAUGCAAAAUUACAUCCAGGCCCUUUGCUUUUGACAAUAACUCUAUAGUAAUCUAUCUGGGUCUAGAUAGUCUUUUCCUCUUUAAGUCGGUUUCCUCUUUUCUGCCAUCAUACCGAAGCUCCCUUGCGCACAGCUUCGGCUCUGCUCCAUCCUUCGUAUUGUUUCCGUGCUUCUUCAUACCGUGGGCUCUUGUUCGAAGAUCCCUAUCCACACAUUAUACUCCAGAGGCAUUGUUAAAUCAUGUUUUUGAGGACCUUCGGAAGUCGAAGGCCCCCAACAGUAGCCCCUCGCAAUAUUAAUUUAUUAGAAUGAUAAAUUUAGAUCGCGACAUGGACGAAGGCCUUAAGCCGAAGGUCCGAAAAAACACCUUCCCUUUGCUAGAAUAGCAACAAUCAAUGACAAGCGGGGCCCUUUCCCUUGCAACACACUAGGCGUAUAAAUAAGAGCAUACCGCGAGCGGAUUUGGCACGCUUUUUGCCAUCUGCUCUUGCUCACCCAACUUUUAGCCCUUGCACACCAACACCUGCUUGGCCUUUUUUUAAAAAAAUUUAAGCUUCGGUUUCGAGAGCACUUUCUCAGCAUUUUCGAAGAUGUCUGAAGAUAAGAAAGUUGUCGCUGAGUCGAAGCUGAGACUUUCUGAGGAGAUGAAUCUCGGCUUUCUUGAAUCAAUAGCGAAGACAAAUACAGAGAAGAUUACUAGGGAGAUUUUAGAAGGUUUAUCUGAAGACACUGGUGACAGUGACAGUUAUGAUGUGGAAAGUGGUGGUGAAGAUUCCGAAGAUCGACCCUGGUGACCAAGCCAUGCAGUUUUUGGAAAAUCAAGCAUUAAACUAAGCCAUCUUGUUAAUAUGAGGGGCAGAUAUUUUCGGGAUUUAUCUAUUGUGAGGGCUGAUGAAGGAGAAAAAACUUGUCCUACUCCUGAGGAAAAUGAAGUCGUGAUAUUCCGAAGCUUCUUCAAGGCUGGGCUUCGGUUUCCUUUAAGCGGUUUCGUGGUUGAAGUUUUGAAGAUUUUUGAAAUCUACCUCCAUCAAAUUACUCCUGAAGCAAUCAUAAGGAUGGGAAUCUUCGUAUGGGCUGUGAAGAGCCAAGGUUUGGAGCCGAAUGCAAAAAGUUUCUGCAAUAUGCAUGAGCUAUUAUACGAGACGAAACCUUGGGGUAAAGAGAAAUAUCAUAACAAUUUUGGCUGCUACAGCUUCGGCGCCCGCUCUGGGUCAAGCUGUCCCGUGCCAACUUUUUGGAAGAGAUGGCCCGGGGACUCGAUGAAGGAAUGGUGUUAUGUAAAAAACGACUUGAAAACGCGAGAAGGUAUUAAAGAUAUCAUCAUGCGCCCCAUCUGGCAGCGUUUCGGCCUUCGGAAACCGAAGGUGGAUAUUGACGAAGCAACCGAAGAAUGCCAGAGGGCCUUCGGCGUAGUUUGCUCUUUCAUCGGGACAAGGGAUUUGAUCCAGGAACAUAUUUCCUUCAGAGUAUGGCCACUUGUAGAAAAGUGGGAAAUGCCGAAGGAAACCAUCAGCAAACCUGAUGAAGUGGACUAGUUAGGUUAAAAUAUACCUUCAGAUAUGGAGAUAAGUUUGUGGAGCCAGAUGAUGACUGGCUGAAAUGUAUUGAGGCCACAAGCGAUGAACUGCUUGGGCCAUAUUCGAAGACAGAAGAUACUGCACUGUCCGCGGCCUUCGGAGGUCGGAAGAAGAGACUCAACCGAGUGUUUGAUGCCAUUGGGUUCGUCUAUCCUGACUACCGUUACCCAACACAGGGUCAGAAAGGGAAAGAUACGACUUCUGUGAAGAAAGUUGCUUCAGCCGCUCCUAGUGAGCCGGCGCCGAAGAGGAAAAAGAUGAAGGUUCUUACGCACCGGCCACGCUAUAUUGAACCGGCCACAGUGCCUGAGUUUGUCGGUGAGACCUCUUCGGCCACCGAAGCCAAGGAGCCGACUCUCCUGCCGAAUAUUGAAGAGCCGGCCAAAAUGCCGGCAAUGGAAAAAAUAGAAGAACCGAGGGCUGAAGAGACAAAGACAUCGGAAAAGAAUGGUUAACGUGCUAAUGCCGAAUAUUGAAGUCCUUCAGCAAGAAUCGAGGUGCUAAUGCCAAUGCCGAUGGCACAAAAAGACCUUACGACAACCCCCAAGAGGAAAAGAAUGGUUAACGUGCUAGAUGUACUGGAAACGAUAAAAUCUUCAAGCUCUACUCCGAAGAUAGCUACUGAAGUUCCAAAGACACAAACUGAGGCCAAAGCUGCCAAAAGUCAAGCGGAAACUGAAACUGGGCUUUCAGAGCCUACCAAGAGGGAAUUCUUGGAAAUUGAAAAAGAAACGGAAAAAGAAUCUGCAGAAGAAACUUUUUCUGAGAAAAUCGUCACACAUAUUCCCGAAGCAUCUUCUGAAGCUUCUGACUAUGUAUUACGUCAUGCUUCGGGUAAAAAUCUGAGCGAAAAAGAAAAAAGAGAAGCUCAAUUCUAUGCGCAAAAAUUGAAAUAUCCAAAAGGGGCGCUGAUAUUCAACGGCAGCGGAGAAGAAGACUUCUUGUAUUGUCUCCCUCAUAGCAAGGAGAUUUCUGUCUGUCGGGAGAUGAGCAAAAGCUUCGGAUUCCCAACAUUAGAAGACGGGCUCUUGGUGUUGUCAAAGGACGAGCUAGCCGACAGCUUAGCGUAUAAUAGUUUAAAGGUGAAGAAAAUGAGAUCUUUGUAUUAUUUCUUGAAACCAAAAUUUUUCAUUUGCUUAAACUUAUUAACGCAUUUUUUUACAGGGUCUUAUACUUAGCAAUGCCCUCAGGGCACAAAAGAAUGACGAAGACGAAGGGUGCGCCAUAGCCCUGAGCAACCUUCGUUCCGAAGUAAUUGAUCUAAGGAACGAAGGUCUCGAAAAAGAUAAAAUAUUACAUUCGUUGGUGAAUAAAAUAAAAGAAGAUGAAGCUACUUUCAAAGCUCAAGCUGAGGCUCAGAAGCACGAAAUUGAGAAUCUUCGGAAACAACUAGCCAGAGCUACAGAAGAAUACACAAUUGAAGAAACAAAACGAGAAAUUAGUGAACAAUGGGCAAAUCAUUUAGAAAAAAACGUUGAAGAGCUUCGUGCGUCCAAGAAAAGGUGUUAUGAAAAAUCUAUAGAAUGUGUUAAGAAAAUAAGAACCAGCUUCACCAACGUUGGCGCGUUUUCAAGUGAAGAAAAUUUCAUGAGGGGUGACCCCGAAAGCCCAAUUGGAUGGAUCAGCCACGAAGCUGAAGCUUUUGAAUAGCCGUGGAGACAUAUGUGCCUUCUCGGGUGCCAGGGGGAUUGCCGCUGUUUUGGAGAAGAAAGGUUGCGAUCACGUGAAAUCCCUGGCACAGACCGAAGCCGUUUUAUCCUCUGAAGACAUAAAAGACCCUUCGGCCGAGGCGAGUUUGGUUGGUGGGAAAUUUUUCACCGACAUCUGGGAAAACGGUGGCCGGGAGAUGGCUCAAGAAAUUAUACGGAGAAGCGAGAAUGGUAUACAUGACGCUAGAAAAGUAGCAGAGGCCGCUGAGAAAAGUGUGGAUCUCGAAGGGCGAAUAGGUAUUAACUAGUAAUUUUUGGCUUUUUGUUGUAACCUUUUGAUUUUGAACUUGUUUACACUUUGUAACAUGGUCGCACCUUCUCCUCCCUCAGAGCCUGCCGAGCCAUCGACAGACCCCCACGUAAAGGGGGAUGACGAGAUUAGAAGAAUGGCUGAAGCUAUCAUGGACAAAGUUGUUGAUCAAUUACUAAACGAAGCUGCAGAAAUAGUUCUAAGGGAAGAUUAGAUGUUAUUGUAAAAACAUUUGGAAUGUAAUAUUUGUUGAACAAUAUGUGUAAUAUUUUGUAACUUUGAAUGUAAUAUAUAAUCUAUUUGUGGUUCAAUUCUUUACGAUGCAUGAAACUUUACAUACAUACCGUUUUUGAGCCUUCGGCGAAAAAACACCUUCCCUUCUUUUCAUGCUUCGUAAAUAAUAUCCGUAUAUCAUAAAAACAUCCAAUUUUCGUAAAAUCAGUAACCAAUAGAUCUUUUUAUUUCAUAAAAACAUCCAAUCUUCGUAAAAUCAGUAACCAAUCUUCGUAAAGGCAUGCUUCUUCAAUAAUUAUUUUUGUGCCUUGGCACUGUUUCUUCGAAACAAUCUCCGAAUAUCAACAUUGAAACCCCCUUCUUGCGUCAUUGAUGCAAUAUGAUGUAUGAUGUUAUGCUAUGCAAAUGAUGUGAUGAUGUGAUGUUAUGCAAAAUGAUAUUUGCCGAAGAUCAACGUUUAUUUUUCACUGCAAGCCUCCCUUAGGAGCUUCUUCGCCUUUUACUUCAGCGGAAUCAGCAUUUAUUUUUCGCUGUAAGCCUCCCUUAGGAGCUUCUUCGCCUUUUACUUUCAGCGGAAUCAGCGUUUAUUUUUUGCUGUAAGCCUCCCUUAGGAGCUUCUUCGCCUUUUACUUUCAGCGGAAUCAGCGUUUAUUUUUCGCUGUAAGCUCUGCAUUCCCUUCGGAACGACUUUUGAGCAGAAAACUUACGCUGCGCUCCCUUAGGAACGACUUUUUGUUAUUUCGGAGAUUCUCCUUGUAACCAUAAAUUCUUAUGCUUCGGCAACUCUGUUAUUUUGUGGAGAAGGUAUAUUUUUACUGUGGCGAAAACGAAGCUAUUACAAGAAAUUGAAAACGACAAAAAGCACUUAGGCUUUCAAUAAUUGUUCCUUAUUAAAAAGAAAAUGAUACUGAAUGUAAAAACUACUGCCGAGGUAGGAUAUUUGUUAGUAAAUAUGCUUCGAUUCUGGCACAGUACUAUUGACUGUGCGAGCUUCGGACUCUUCUCUAAAGUCCCGUUGAAGGUGGAUAUGCUGACUCCCUUCUGGCUGCUGGCUUUGUUGCAUUGGUGGUGGAGGUGGAGGCUGCUGCCAAGAUGCCUGAGGUUGGCUUGCCGAAGCAACAGAAGCUGCAGGGUGGUUGCCUACAUACUCUGGAAUGUAAGGCGAAUGGUAUGAAGCAGUGUGCAUAACUUGCUUCGGCUGGCUCUGUUGGGCUGCAGCUUCUGCUAUCUCCUUUUGUUUCUGGAUGGUAACAUGGCACAUCCUGGUGGUAUGGCCCUUGUCCUCUCCACAGAAUAGGCAAUAGAUCUUCCUGGGCUGAUCCCCAAAUCUUCCUCCGAAGCCCCUGGCACCUCUACCCCUUGGAGCUGGAGGCCGAGGAUAGCUCUGCUGCUGCCCCGAAGCCUGGGAGGAAUAUUGCGGCCUCUGCUGCUGGCUUCCCCUGUCAUCAUUCUGAGUGUUAUGAAUCGAUCUGACAUGUCUAGGGUGAACUCUCCCUCCGAAGCCACUGGCUAUUUUGGAGAACCUGUAAGCUUCCUCCCUUCUCUAUCGGAAGUCGUUGUCAGCGCGGAUGUAUUCGUCCAUCUUCUGAAGCAGUUUCUCCAGAGUCUGAGGGGGCUUCCUGGCAAAGUACUGGGCUGAAGGUCCUGGCCGAAGCCCCUUAAUCAUGGCCUCAAUGACAAUUUCAUUGGGCACUGUUGGUGCUUGUGCCCUCAGGCGUAAGAACCUUCGGACAUACGCCUGAAGAUAUUCUCCGUGGUCUUGGGUGCACUGGAAUAAGUCUUGAGCGGUGACCGGCUUCGUUUGAAACCCUUAGAAACUGGUGAUCAGCAUAUCCUUCAGCUUCUGCCAUGAUGUGAUUGUUCCUGGCCGAAGGGAGGAGUACCAGGUUUGUGCAACAUUCUUGACGGCCAUGACGAAAGACUUCGCCAUGACUGCAAUAUUGCCACCAUAGGAAGAUAUCGUUGCUUCGUAGCUCAUCAGAAACUGCUUCAGAUCUGAGUGUCCGUUGUACAUGGGGAGUUGAGGUGGCUUGUAAGACGGAGGCCAAGGUGUAGCCUGCAGUUCUGGUGAUAGAGGAGAAGCAUCGUCAAAAGCAAAAUUUCCAUGAUGGAAAUCCUCAUACCAGUCAUCCUCGUUGACGAAGCCCUCUUGGUGGAGCUCUCUGUACUGGGGCCUCCGGUUCUAUUCAUCUUGCGUAAGAUGACGAACCUCUUUAGAGGCUUUGUCUAUCUGCCUUUGUAGGUCAGCUAGCCGGGCCAUCUUUUCUUUCUUCUUUUGCACUUGUUGAUGCAGCAUUUCCAUGUUCCUGAUUUCUUGGUCCAAAUCGUCCUCCUGAGGCGUUGGACUGGUGGCCUUCCUCUUCUGGCUUCGGGCUUCCCGAAGAGAGAGAGUCUCCUGGUUCGUGUCCAGCGGCUGCAGAGCCGCAGCCCCUGUUGCUGAAGCUUUCUUUGGCGGCAUGACAAAGGUCGAUGCUUGCCGAAGGUGUUCGAAACUCAAAAAGUGGAAGUGAGUUCACCGGAGGUGGGCACUAAUGUUGGGGACUUGUUCUCAAAUGCUAAGAGUUAAGAACAAGGAAACAUAAAAAUGUUAAAUGCUAAAGUCCUUAGUCCUUCGAAGCAUUAUUUCCCUUAGGAUAUAAUGAAUUUCGGACGAAGGUUAUGAAGGACAUACCUUCAUAAGCACAACGAAUGAUGAAGAAGAAUUCAUAUAAAUUAUGAGAUAUAACAUAAACAUUUAAACAUUAUUAUUAACUCAUUUCUAUUGACUUGUCAGGGAAAAAUAGAAAUGAUAAUAAAUUACAAAUAUACCUUCGGCUUGAGAGAAGGUAAAGGUACAAGCGUGAGGCAAAAGCAAAUGCCAAGUCAGCGUGAAUAGUACGGGAACACUGUUCAUCUAUUUAUAGGCACGGGACGCAGCCCAUGCAAAAUUACAUCCAGGCCCUUUGCUUUUGACAAUAACUCUAUAGUAAUCUAUCUGGGUCUAGAUAGUCUUUUCCUCUUUAAGUCGGUUUCCUCUUUUCUGCCAUCAUGCCGAAGCUCCCUUGCGCACAACUUCUGCUCUGCUCCAUCCUUCGUAUUGUUUCCGUGCUUCUUCAUACCAUGGGCUCUUGUUCGAAGAUCCCUGUCCACACAUUAUACUCCAGAGGCAUUGCUAAAUCAUGUUUUUGAGGACCUUCGGAAGCCGAAGGCCCCCAACAGUUAUUUUGCUCUAAGAUCGGCAGUAAUGAAGUAUAAAUCAUCGUUGUGGUGUGCUACUCGGUUAAUUGAGCAUUAACACACACAAACAUGACGAGGAUGGUAUAAUCUCCAAAAAUGUGUACUUUGUUAGGUGGGACCCUAUAGCCUUGCAGAAUGUGCUAUGUUAGGCAUGCCUGGAAACGUGUGACGCAUACGUUUUGUGAACCUGUUCAUAUUAUAUGUGCUUUUAUAUUAUCGUAUUUUAUUAAAAUACUAAUAUUUAUUACUAGUAAGAUAUAACAUUCUAUCUAGCUUAAAAACUAACCAUAAAUAUUCCAUAAUAACUAGAUUUACCAAACUAAUAUACUAAAUAUACAUAAUAAAUACAAAAUUAACAAGACAAUAAUCAAUAUUUAUGAGCUUAAUAUAUUUAGACAUUAUGGUUGGUCGACGAUAAUCAUGCUAACUUUCCGUAAUUGCUUGAUUGUAAAUAUGCUUAGAAUAAUGCCUCUUUGUUCUACAUGGCAAAUAGGGACCAUUAUGGUGUAACACCCUGGGAUCCACAAACACCCUGAAAUGCUACUAAACUACACAACUAACCUUCAUAUAUUAAAUUUCGACAGCAUCUCCUUUGAAAAUUUGUAUAAACGUGGAAGCAACAGAGUAUAAACAGAUAUGAUGAUAAGGAAACAUAAUAGACAUUAAUAAUCUGCUAGAAAUGGGAAGAUAACCAUAACGACAUAAACUGAAUUAACUAGUGUGCACGGCAUGUUAAAAACAAACAUCGUUGACAAGAAGUUUCUAAUUAAAUCAUGGCUGUGCCUAGGCAGCGUUAUUAUAUGAGUGAAGGUGGACGUGAUGCUACUUCCCUCAUUCCCAACAUGAAUCAAGUACCUGUAUUGAGUAAUGCAAGAGUGAGAUGAAAACAUCUCAGCAAGUAAAUUGUUUUGACGAGAUAUUUAAACCAAAAAAAUUUGAUUUAAUCAACAUUUUAAAGGGAUCACAAUUGAGAUCAGACAUACUUGUAGAUAUAAAACUCAAUAGUCCCAAAAUAACCAAUGCCAUCUCAUUUCCACAAACAACCACAAUAGGUUGUAUAACACUUCCCUGCGUCAUCAAUACCUGCAAAUAUCACUUCAAUGUAUGCAUAGGAAUGCAAUGUUUAAGUCCUCUGCAUUCAUACUUCUUAGAGUAUAAAACCACACCAUCUGCAAAUAUCACUUCAAUGAAUGCAUAUGAAUGCAAUGCAUAUGUCCUCUGCCUUCAUACCUCUAAGGGUAUGAAGACGCAUCGUACCCCUCCUCGGGCAACGUACGAUGCUAAGUUGUACCGGUACGGUCGGACCAUAGGUCACGACAAAACUUCAGAUGCAAGUGAAUCAUGACAUGUAUAUGGCAUGCUGCAUUUAUCAAUAUACUACACUUCCUUCACAUACAAUACAAACCUCAAAUAAUACUUCGUUUACCUUCAGAUACAAUACAAACCUCAAAUAAUACUUCAUUCACCUUCAGGGGUGUUUAUUAAUCUCGUGGGUCAUACUCAAAUCAUCAUCAUCAUCAAUGAUGUUUAAGCAUCAGUAUAAUACAAUCAAGUAAAGCAUCACCAUAGAGUUCAAUUAUGAAAGAAUUCGAUGAUUCUGAAUAUUAGAGUGUAUGCGAUGAAACAACAAAGUCAAAACGGUAGCAACCACCGCUACAUUCACUUGCCUUCAUCGAAGAAGAAAAAGGUACUAGGCAUGAUUCGGAGUGUAGACACCUGCUGUGGGGCUUAAAACUUAGUACAAAUAUUCCACAAACAUUUGCCAACAACUAACAAAUCGCUCCUACACUUGUAACCAAGACCCGGUGGAAUGACUCCCACCCUGAACCACAUGUCAAACAGCAGGAGUGCUGUUUGUUAAUUUUGUAUCUUUAAAAUUAUAACAGUGGUGAUAUCAAACAAAUACUCUAGAAGUUUCUACACAAAAUACUCUACAACUUCGGUAUUCAAUGGAUAAUUAAAUUUUGCCAUCUAUAAGUUCUAAAACAUCUGACAAGAUAACUGACAGAAUCUGUUUCAGACAGCAGCAUAGUUAACUUCAAAAUUCGAUAUCUCCCAAACUCCUCAACCAAAAUUUAUGAAAUUAUGUUGACAGUAAGAACUUUUAUCCCUCUACAAAAGUCUCCAUAGUUGGAAGAGCCAAUUCGGCCAUUUACUAGAUGAAACCUACCAUUUAACAGACCCGCUCAUUUUUGUCAGGCAAACAAGAACCCUUAUAUAUCAAAGAGUAGUGGAUUUGAAUUUGUCUAAUAUGAAGUUUAUGGGCUUGGAUCAUUUAAAGUAUUUUAUAAUUCUGAAAGACAAGAUUAAACUAACUAUGUAUGAUCCUUUAGCACCGUACAGAUGGUCGAUGGGACAGUUACAUGGUUUAUAUAGAUGGACAUAUCUAUAUUCCUUCAGUGGUUGAGAAAAAGGUAAAGGUGUGUCACACUCACGCGUGCACUGCCUCCGCCGAGACGAGGCAUGGCGUUGCAAGGUGAGGCAUGGCAUGGUGCAGCACGAUCGUAUACAUGGUCGUGGCACAGUGUAGCACUGUUGUGGAUAGAUAGAUAAACUUUUGUUGUAGUUAGAGUGCAUGAGUUUUUGAAUGCAACACAAGAAUUUUCACAAUUUAACUUAAUUAAGAAGUUAUAUCUUGAUGACACAGAGUUACCUGACCAUUGAUCUCACAUGCCCUUUUAGCUCUCUCGUUCUCUAGACUCACCCUGACUAUUUAGGUCUCCUGACUCGCCAAUAUAAACACCAUCCUAUCAUUUGCUCUCGAAUACUUCUGUGUCACAACUCAACUGUCAGAUGAGUACUCCAUUACAGCACUGAGCAGGCCUCCGAAAUGAAUAUCUACUCAGAUGAAGGACGACAAUCGUGUUCUAGGGAAAUAUCAGCGACACAACUCCUUACUUCCUCCGCUUCUUCCUAGUGUUUUUUGUUGUGAUUGAGUCGACAUAGCAACAACACUGCACUAUUACAACCAGUACGACUAUAUCAACUAGCAAUGUCUUCCUUAUAUGUUACUAUUUAUUUUGCUCAUAUUCAUUAUGUUUAAAUCACAUAGGCGCCUUUAUGUUGGCAUCAAAAAAUCAGUAUCAACUUUAUAGAUUAAAAUGAAACUAAAAGUACCUAAAUUUCUAUCGGUGGGGAUCGAGUGAUUCUUUAAACCGAUUAUUACACAAGUUAACCACACUAAAAUUAACAAUGGUGAAUCGUGCCAUGAUUUUUUUCUAGUGGAAAAUAGCCAAACCAAGCAACACAUAUGUGGCUAUCGUUACACAUGUGUAAAGGUAUUGCAUCACACCAUUGUCACCCAUGUAUUUGGACAAUACCGAGAGGAAAAACCACUUAUUUAUUGUAUUAUAUCAAGUUUGUCUUGCUUACGUAUAAAUUAUAACCCAACAAAGUAAUCACUAAAUGUCAAAACCAACUAGAUACCAUGUCAUCUCUACCUUAUCUUACUAAUAUUCUUUUUGCAAAAUCCAAAAUUAAUCUUGCACAAGCACAAGGACUGAGAUGUGUAUAAAUAUCUCUUAAAUUAGUAGCUAAUAUAUCGCACAUAUUAUUGAGACCAACUAGCAACAUAGAAAGCACAAUAGUGUACCAACAAUGGCAGCCAAAAUAUUUUGCCUCCUUAUGCUCCUUGGUCUUUCUGCAAGUGCUGCUACGGCGACCAUUUUCCCGCAAUGCUCGCAAGCUCCUAUAGCUUCCCUUCUUCCCCCGUACCUCUCACCAGCGGUGUCUUCGGUAUGUGAAAACCCAAUUCUUCAACCCUACAGGAUCCAACAGGCAAUCACAGCUGGCAUCUUACCUUUAUCACCCUUGUUCCUCCAACAAUCAUCAGCCCUAUUACAUCAGUUACCUUUGGUGCAUUUAUUGGCACAAAACAUCAGGGCACAACAACUACAACAACUUGUGCUAGCAAACCUUGCUGCCUACUCUCAGCAACAGCAGUUUCUUCCAUUCAACCAACUAGCUGCAUUGAACUCUGCUUCUUAUUUGCAACAACAACAACUACCAUUCAGCCAGCUACCUGCUGCCUACCCCCAGCAAUUUCUUCCAUUCAACCAACUGGCAGCAUUGAACUCUCCUGCUUAUUUACAGCAGCAACAACUACUACCAUUCAGCCAGCUAGCUGGUGUGAGCCCUGCUACCUUCUUGAUACAACCACAGUUGUUGCCGUUCUACCAGCACGCUGCGCCUAACGCUGGCACCCUCUUACAACUGCAACAAUUGCUGCCAUUCAACCAACUUGCUUUGACAAACCCAGCAGCGUUCUACCAACAACCCAUCAUUGGUGGUGCCCUCUUUUAGAUUUCUUAUGAGUUAUAGUUCAAUAAUAAAGUUUUUUGUCUGAUGUUUGUGGCUUCCCAGAAAUAAGAAAGUACAUUUCUAGAUUCUUAUGUGCUUCUAGUCUCCAAAUGUGGUUGAUAGUUAUUUUGCUCUAAGAUCGACAGUAAUGAAGUAUAAAUCAUCGUUGUGGUGUGCUACUCGGUUAAUUGAGCAUUAACACACACAAACAUGACGAGGAUGGUAUAAUCUCCAAAAAUAUGUACUUUGUUAGGUGGGACCCUAUAGCCUUGCAUAAUGUGCUAUGUUAGGCAUGCCUGGAAACGUGUGACGCAUAUGUUUUGUGAACCUGUUGAUAUUAUAUGUGCUUUUAUAUUACCAUAUUUUAUUAAAAUACUAAUAUUUAUUACUAGUAAGAUAUAACAUUCUAUCUAGCUUAAAAACUAACCAUAAAUAUUCCAUAAUAACUAGAUUUACCAAACUAAUAUACUAAAUAUACAUAAUAAAUACAAAAUUAACAAGACAAUAAUCAAUAUUUAUGAGCUUAAUAUAUUUAGACAUUAUGGUUGGUCGACCAUAAUCAUGCUAACUUUUCGUACUUGCUUGAUUGUAAAUAUGCUUAGAAUAAUGCCUCUUUGUUCUACAUGGCAAAUAGGGACCAUUAUGGUGUAACACCCUGGGAACCACAAACACCCCGAAAUGCUACUAAACUACACAACUAACCUUCAUAUAUAAAAUUUCGACAGCAUCUCCUUUGAAAAUUUGCAUAAACGUGGAAGCAACAGAGUAUAAACAGAUAUCAUGAUAAGGAAACAUACUAGACAUUAAUAAUCUGCUAGAAAUGGGAAGAUAACCAUAACGACAUAAACUGAAUUAACUAGUGUGCACAACUUGUUUAAAACAAACAUCAUUGACAAGAAGUUUCUAAUUAAAUCAUGGCUGUGCCUGGGUAGCGUUAUUAUGAGAGUGAAGGUGGACGUGAUGCUACUUCCCUCAUUCCCAACAUGAAUCAAGUACCUGCAUUGAGUAAUGCAAGAGUGAGAUGAAAACAUCUCAGCAAGUAAAUUGUUUUGACGAGAUAUUUAAAGCAAAAAAAUUUGAUUUACUCAACAUUUUAAAGGGAUCACAAUUGAGAUCAGAAAUACUUGUAGAUAUAGAACUCAAUAGUCCCAAAAUAACCAGUGCCAUCUCAUUUCCUCAAACAACCACAAUAGGUUGUAUAACACUUCCCUGCGUCAUCAAUACCUGCAAAUAUCACUUCAAUGUAUGCAUAGGAAUGCAAUGUUUAAGUCCUCUGCAUUCAUACUUCUUAGAGUAUAAAACCACACCAUCUGCAAAUAUCACUUCAAUGAAUGCAUAUGAAUGCAAUGCAUAUGUCCUCUGCCUUCAUACCUCUAAGGGUAUGAAGCCGAAUCGUACCCCUCCUCGGGCAACGUACGAUGCUAAGUUGUACCGUUACGGUCGGACCAUAGGUCACGACAAAACUUCAUAUGCAAGUGAAUCAUGACAUGUAUAUGGCUUGCUGCAUUUAUCAAUAUACUUCACUUCCUUCAUAUACAAUACAAACCUCAAAUAAUACUUCGUUUACCUUCAGAUACAAUACAAACCUCAAAUAAUACUUCAUUCACCUUCAGGGGUGUUUAUUAAUCUCGUGGGUCAUACUCGAAUCAUCAUCAUCAUCAAUGAUGAUUAAGCAUCAGUAUAAUACAAUCAAGUAAAGCAUCACCAUAGAGUUCAAUUAUGAAAGAAUUCGAUGAUUCUGAAUAUUAGAGUGUAUGCGAUGAAACAACAACGUCAAAACGGUAGCAACCACCGCUACAUUCACUUGCCUUCAUCGAAGAAGAAAAACAUACUAGGCAUGAUUCAGAGUGUAGACACCUGCUGUGGGGCUUAAAACUUAGUACAAAUAUUCCACAAACAUUUGCCAACAAUUAACAAAUCGCUCCUACACUUGAAACCAAGACCCGGUGGAAUGACUCCCACCCUGAACCACAUGCCAAACAAUAGUAGUGUUGUUUGUUAAUUUUGUAUCUUUAAAAUUAUAACAGUGGUGAUAUCAAACAAAUACUCCAGAAGUUUCUACACAAAAUACUCUACAACUUUGGUAUUCAAUGGAUAAUUAAAUUUUGCCAUCUAUAAGUUCUAAAACAUCUGAUAAGAUAACUGACUGAAUUUGUUUCAGACAACAGCAUAGUUAACUUCAAAAUUCGAUAUCUCCCAAACUCCUCAACCAAAAAUUAUGAAAUUAUUCUGACAGUAAGAACUUUUUUCCCUCUACAAAAGUAUCUAUAGUUGGAAGAGCCAAUUCGGCCAUUUACUAGAUGAAACCUACCAGUUAACAGACCCGCUCAUUUUUGUCAGGCAAACAAGAACCCUUAUAUAUCAAAGAGUAGUGGAUUUGAAUUUGUCUAAUAUGAAGUUUAUGGGCUUGGAUCAUUUAAAGUAUUUUAUAAUUCUGAAAGACAAGAUUAAACUAACUAUGUAUGAUCCUUUAGCACUGUACAGAUGGUCGAUGGGACAGUUACAUGGUUUAUAUAGAUGGACCUAUCUAUAUUCCUUCAGUGGUUGAGAAAAAGGUAAAGGUGUGUCACACUCACGUGUGCGCCGCCUCUACCGAGAUGAGGCAUGGCGUUGCAAGGUGAGGCAUGGCAUGGUGCAGCACGAUCGUAUACAUGGUCGUGGCACAGUGUAGCACUGUUGUGGAUAGAUAGAUAAACUUUUGUUGUAGUUAGAGUGCAUGAGUUUUUGAAUGCAACACAAGAAUUUUCACAAUUUAACUUAAUUAAGAAGUUAUAUCUUGAUGACACAGAGUUACCUGACCAUUGAUCUCACAUGCCCUUUUAGCUCUCUCGUUCUCUAGACUCACCCUGACUAUUUAGGUCUCCUGACUCGCCAAUAUAAACACCAUCCUAUCAUUUGCUCUCGAAUACUUCUGUGUCACAACUCAACUGUCAGAUGAGUACUCCAUUACAGCACUGAGCAGGCCUCCGAAAUGAAUAUCUACUCAGAUGAAGGACGACAAUCGUGUUCUAGGGAAAUAUCGGUGACACAACUCCUUACUUCCUCCGCUUCUUCCUAGUGUUUUUUGUUGUGAUUGAGUCGACACAGCAACAACACUGCACUAUUACAACCAGUACGACUAUAUUAACUAGCAAUGUCUUCCUUAUAUGUUACUAUUUAUUUUGCUCAUAUUCAUUAUGUUUAAAUCACAUAGGCACCUUUUUGUUGGCAUCAAAAAAUUAGUAUCAACUUUCUAGAUUAAAGUGAAACUAAAAGUACCUAAAUUUCUAUCGGUGGGGAUCGAGUGAUUCUUUAAACCAAUUAUUACGCAAGUUAACCACACUAAAAUUAACAUUGGUGAACCGUGCCAUGAUUUUUUCUAAUGGAAAAUAGCCAAACCAAGCAACACAUAUGUGGCUAUCGUUACACAUGUGUAAAGGUAUUGCAUCACACCAUUGUCACCCAUGUAUUUGGACAAUACCGAGAGGAAAAACCACUUAUUUAUUGUAUUUUAUCAAGUUUGUCUUGCUUACGUAUAAAUUAUAACCCAACAAAGUAAUCACUAAAUGUCAAAACCAACUAGAUACCAUGUCAUCUCUACCUUAUCUUACUAAUAUUCUUUUUGCAAAAUCCAAAAUUAAUCUUGCACAAGCACAAGGACUGAGAUGUGUAUAAAUAUCUCUUAAAUUAGUAGCUAAUAUAUCACACAUAUUAUUGAGACCAACUAGCAACAUAGAAAGCACAAUAGUGUACCAACAAUGGCAGCUAAAAUAUUUUGCCUCCUUAUGCUCCUUGGUCUUUCUGCAAGUGCUGCUACGGCGACCAUUUUCCCACAAUGCUCACAAGCUCCUAUAGCUUCCCUUCUUCCCCCGUACCUCUCACCAACGGUGUCUUCGGUAUGUGAAAACCCAAUUCUUCAACCCUACAGGAUCCAACAGGCAAUCGCAGCUGGCAUCUUACCUUUAUCACCCUUGUUCCUCCAACAAUCAUCAGCCCUAUUACAGCAGUUACCUUUGGUGCAUUUAUUGGCACAAAACAUCAGGGCACAACAACUACAACAACUUGUGCUAGCAAACCUUGCUGCCUACUCUCAGCAACAGCAGUUUCUUCCAUUCAACCAACUAGCUGCAUUGAACUCUGCUUCUUAUUUGCAACAACAACAACUACCAUUCAGCCAGCUAUCUGCUGCCUACCCCCAGCAAUUUCUUCCAUUCAACCAACUGACAGCAUUGAACUCUCCUGCUUAUUUACAGCAGCAACAACUACUACCAUUCAGCCAGCUAGCUGGUGUGAGCCCUGCUACCUUCUUGACACAACCACAGUUGUUGCCGUUCUACCAGCACGCUGCGCCUAACGCUGGCACCCUCUUACAACUGCAACAAUUGCUGCCAUUCAACCAACUUGCUUUGACAAACCCAGCAGCAUUCUACCAACAACCCAUCAUUGGUGGUGCCCUCUUUUAGAUUUCUUAUGAGUUAUAGUUCAAUAAUAAAGUUUUUUGUCUGAUGUUUGUGGCUUCCCAGAAAUAAGAAAGUACAUUUCUAGAUUCUUAUGUGCUUCUAGUCUCCAAAUGUGGUUGAUAGUUAUUUUGCUCUAAGAUCAACAGUAAUGAAGUAUAAAUCAUCGUUGUGGUGUGCUACUCGGUUAAUUGAGCAUUAACACACACAAACAUGACGAGGAUGGUAUAAUCUCCAAAAAUGUGUACUUUGUUAGGUGGGACCCUAUAGCCUUGAUUAAUGUGCUAUGUUAGGCAUGCCUGGAAACGUGUGACGCAUAUGUUUUGUGAACCUGUUGAUAUUAUA
Molecule: long non-coding RNA, 83388 nt
Filed under: Zea mays
Lineage: Eukaryota; Viridiplantae; Streptophyta; Magnoliopsida; Poales; Poaceae
Description: long non-coding RNA (ZMAY_LNC002145)
Source: RNAcentral